Molecule: long non-coding RNA, 66972 nt
Filed under: Brachypodium distachyon (stiff brome)
Lineage: Eukaryota; Viridiplantae; Streptophyta; Magnoliopsida; Poales; Poaceae
Description: long non-coding RNA (BDIS_LNC003394)
Source: RNAcentral
CUUGCCGGACUCCUCGCAGCCAGGUGGCUUGAAAGCGAUGAAGCUGAUGCACUGUACUUGCCUGGUGUUGUCGAAGCCGAUGAUGCGGACAUAGGCGCCAGGGUAUUCCUUCUUGACCUCCUCCAACUCCUUGAGCACCUGCGUGGCGUCAGUGCACCCGAACAUGGGAAGCUUCCACAUUGUCCAGUACCUCCCGUCCUAGUACCCUGGGGAGUUGCCGUGCUCACGGAAGACGAAACCGACCUUGCUGAACUCGAGGCAAGGAACCCAUUUGGAGCGGAUGAGAUACUCGAUCUGCUUCAGGAGGGACUCCACGGUGAGAGGUGGCAGGUAGGAAAGGGUCUCGAACUUCUUGAUGCCCUCAAUUGGCCACACCUGCAAUUAGAUUAAAAUUAGCACACAAAGUGUGAUUUGAGACACAUAUCGAUGGAGUAUUUCACUUCACACAUAUCGGUAUGAUGAUAUACAUACCUGCAUGCUCGUGAUCCUGCCACCGUUGGAGACGCUGCCGAGGCCAGCGCCGGCAGAGCGGCGGCUGACGGGGAGCCCGGCGGUGGACUUGAGGCCCCGGAAAGGAGCAACAGCGGUAGCCGCCGCCGACAUCACUGUCGGACCCAUAGCAUCCACCCUUGUAUCACUAGAGUAUAUCUACUUAGCUAAUAUGCUAAGUUUGGCACGGAGAGAGGAGGUCGAGUGGACUUCAUUCCUGGUCACAAGGGUUUAUAUAUACCAUAUAACAUACGAGCAAUUUGUGAUUAAUUUGUUGUCGUUCUAGGAGAUGUGGAAAGGGUGGAUGCCGUUCGUUGGUUGCCUUAUCCGUUCUAGAGAAGGGAUGGAUGACCGACGCUCGCUCAGCCGUCUCCUUCGUCCAUCGUUGCCAAUCUUUCUAGCUAUAAUUGGAAGUUCCAAAGGAACAUACGGUUUCAUGCCUACUUCCAUCGGCCUAUCAUGUACCAAUCCAAUAAAAGGACAUCGUUCAACCAUCAAUCCAUGUGUGUGUAGUAAGUGAUUGGCUACGAACCUUCAGCUGACUUGCUUUAUUGGAUAUUUCUGUAAAGCGAGUCCACGGUGUGUGGGUUUAAAAUCUCGUGGCGGCAACUGUUGACGGGUGCAAAUAUCAGUAGCCUUAAAACAAUAAACUUUACUCCGUCCCUUCCGAAAUGCAAGAAUGUCCUAAGUCAAACUUCUUAUGCUGCAGGACCAUAGUUUUUGAGGUGUUCUUCUCACGAGUCCACGAAGAACGGGAAUUUUUUGGUGUCGGGUAAGGGCGGGGGAAUAUAUAGAUGCUAGCAUCAGCAUGACGGGCUAACGGGUCAGGUAGGAUUUUGGACGACGUAGCACCUGACAUGUGGGGGCCACAUGUAAGAAAACCUGUCAAAAUGUCAUAACCCUCUGUUUUGGUCAACUUGAUACAAUCUGAUACAAAACGUGUGGUUUUCCUGACAAAUUAGCAAAUUUUGUGUCUCUGUGAGAAGCACGCCCCAAAAACUGUGGUUCCGUGAAAUUUAUUCACUAGUUACACUUUAUCUACAAACAUCUACGAUUCUAAAAUAGUUUGGUAUAUAUUUUCCGUAAUAUAAUUAUUUGAUAUUCUAAAUUCGGGGAUUUGUUCUUAUAAACUUGGUCGAAGUUUAAAAAGUUUGACUUCGGACAAAGUUACGACUUUUUACAUUUAGGAAUGAAGGGAAUACAUUUUAGUAAAGCAAUUGAGGAAUUGACAGAAUUAAAUAUCUUAAAUUAUACUGGUCCAUCGUGUACUCAUGGCAACAAAAUAAAUUUAUAGUCGAAAAGUUGGACCAUGAAAACUUAAAACGUGAUACAUUAAAAUUGUUGAAUCACUCUACAUCUUGUAAUUUUCUCUUGCAACCUUCUGGCGCGCUACUCAUUCCACAUUUGGUACUAUAUGUAUAAAUGUAUAUAUAUACCGCAUUAGGAGCCUCUAUUACUGUUUUAGUAUAAAUAGCAGUUUCCAUCGACUAUGCACUUCAUUAACUUUUUCUUCACGAGAUAACUUGCUUAUCGAUUUUCUUUAAUUAUCCAGAUGGCUUCUACUAGUUUGUUUCCUUGCUUACUGGGAUUUCCGCAGACUUUACGGUUAGGUAUUAUUGUCGUGUGGACAACACGGUGGCCGGAUGUUGAGAUGAUGAUGUCCUUUAUCUCCGUGUUGCUUCUGAGGACUGCGGAUCCGAGGCUAGUGGCGGUAUGGGAUGCCUCUCUACCUCUUGAUCAGGUCAAUCCGGCUCAGCAAGAGGCGGAUCGAUGGUGGCCGGUGUGACUAGAAGCGGGGAGGUAUAUAUGAAACGUUUCUUGCUUCCAGCAUCUCUUCUAGCGGUAUAUAUGUCGUCAGCUGGUUGAGGGAUUGAUGGCAAUCGAUCAUGGCUACGAUGACAUGUAUACGCGCCGGUAGGAACACAUAUCAGGCAAUGUCGAUGCACCUGCAUUGGGCCCUUGCUGAAGGUGGUGGUGCGUAUGGCAGUCUAAAGAUUUAAGACACAAAUUUAGACUUAAAACUUAAAUAAUCAAUUUGUGCCAGCGGGAAACACACAAACACGUACCGGUAAAUUAUCAUAAUCAGAAUUUGUCGACGAAUUUGAUAUUCUUUUACAAAAUAUACUUAUCUUAAUAUGUAUAACCGGAGUUUAUAUUACAUGCCCCUCUCCCAACGAUAGUUGUAGUACUCUUAUAAUAGUAGUACUCAUGAAUACAGUUAAUCCGGGUUGUUGGGAGAGAUCACAUGCAUAAAUACAACAUGAAACAAACGUGUGAAAAAGGUACAUAAAAUCGGUGUGACCCGUUCUUGUAUUAUAAGAAAUCAACUUGCUUAGGCCUUGCCGGACUCCUCACAACCCGGUGGCUUGAAGGCGAUGAAGCUGAUGCACUGCACUUGCCUGGUGUUGUCGAAGCCGAUGAUGCGGACAUAGGCGUCAGGGUACUCCUUCUUCACCUCCUCCAGCUCCUUUAGCACCUGCGUGGCGUCGGUGCACCCGAACAUGGGAAGCUUCCACAUUGUCCAGUACCUGCCGUCGUAGUACCCGGGAGAGUUGCCGUGCUCACGGAAGACGAAACCGACCUUGCUGAACUCGAGGCAAGGAACCCACUUGGAGCGGAUGAGAUACUCGAUCUGCUUCAAGAGGGACUCCACGGUGAGAGGCGGCAGGUAGGAAAGGGUUUCGAACUUCUUGAUGCCCUCAAUUGGCCACACCUACAAUUAGAUUAAUAAUUAGCACCGAAAGUAUAAUUUGAGACACAUAUCAGUAUUUCACUUCAACAUAUGUACAUGAUGACAUACAUACCUGCAUGCACCUGAUCCUUCCACCGUUGGAGACGCUGCCGAGACCAGCGCUGGCUGAGCGGCGGCCGAUGGGGAGCCCGGCGGUGGACUUGAGGCCCUGGAAAGGAGCAACGGCAGUAGCCGCUGACGACAUCACUGUGGGAGCCAUCGUACACGUACGUAGAUAGCUAACAAGAGGAGGCAGGCUUGCUUGAGUGCUCUCUAGCUACAGCGGCUUAUAUAACUGUAGGCUCCCCACCCAUCCAAUAUCAGCACAAGAUCUAGGAGGGGUGGCUGCAGUUCGCCGCGCGGAUUUGCCCAGGCCACGCUGGCAUCCUACGGAUCAGGUCGGGCGCCACAUGGCCGCACGAAAUGGCGCGCGUUAUCCUCUGGACGGAUACAAUUGGCUGCAACGCACUCUGCAAAUCAUGCCAUGAAGUGACCAAUUUUCACCUAUCAGGAUAGAUCCAAUGUGCCACGGCAUGCACUCAAAAACAGAACUUGCUAAUCCCUCCAAUCCAUAAAAAAUCUCGCCCACUUAUUAGAAAAUUUGUAAUGAGUUAAUGCAAAAUGAGCAGCACUUUUUAUGAACUAGAGGAACAACAAAUUAAGAGAAACUCUUCUAAGAUCUUAUCGAGAACGAAGCUUGCCCCCGCGUCGCUCAGUCUGGGGCGACACGGGCGGCAACCACACCAGCCCCGGCAGCAGCCUCUCCCCGUCCUCUCCUCCCCCUCGCCGCCGCCGGGCAAAGCCCGCACGGGGACGGCGGCGGCGGGGCUGUUUUUCUUGGCGGGGGUGUCCUAGAGCUCUUGGCUGAGGCGUUUGAGGUGCUGCCUCAUCGUGGUCGCGGCGUCUCCGGCCCGAUCCGGCAGGCUAUGCCUCGUCUUCGGCUAGAUCCGGCCGGCUUCCUCCCGGAUCCGGUGUUUCCCCUCGUUCUUCCUCUCCCUGGUGCUCGGUCUGCUCGUGGCUGCGCGGCUUCACGGCGGCGCUCUUCGGCCGGAUCUAGCUACUCGUUGGCCAGAUCCGUCAUCUCCUCCGGCUGAUCCGGCAUGUCCCAGGUCUCUUCGUUUCCAUCAUUUUUCCUCUCAGUUUGGUGAGGCGGCUGAUUGAACUUCACCGGCGGCAGAUGGGCUGCUGCUGCGGCCAUACAUGGUCCAAGUCGGUCCUUUUCGAUGCCAUGGUGGCGUGGUUUUCAUUUUCGGUCGCGUCUUCGGCUGCUGCCCGUGUGCGAGGUAUGGACGUCGGCUCCGGUGUUUGGAGUGUUGCUCUGGAUGAAAACUGCCCGUGUGCGAGGUAUGCCGAAGACAACGAUGUUGUAGCGCCGUUUUCCUUCUUGGAGGUGUCGUCGAAGAGCUUCACUUUCCCUCACUUUGAUGUUUGGUGUCUUCGGGUGAAAACCUAAGAUUUGGCUAUGGCCAGAUCGGGCGACAACGGCGUUUUUACGUCGAUUUCCUCCUUGGGGGCGUUGUCAUGGAGACAACGACUCUUGGUGGCAUCGGGUGGUGUGGUCCGUCUAUGGUGGAGCUUGUUGUCUCGAGUUGUUGAAGGUUUGGUGGUGUCUCUUCUUGUGUCAUGUGUUAGCUUAGGCUGUCGGUUUGUGUCCGGCGAGAACGUGCGUUUCUUAUCCUUUGGUGCGGUUUCGGCAUGUGAUGCCUUUCGUCUUCACUAUCGUCACGUAGGUGUCGUGUUGUAUUCUCGGUGGUGUGUGGUCUUUCGGCUUAGCCAACGGCAAGUGGAGGUAUGAUCUCGGUUGUGUAUUGCCCUUCGACUUCAUCGGCGGCACAUCGGCGUCGCGGUGGGUCUCAGUGACGCGCAGCCCUUCGACUCUGCCGGCUACGUAGGUGUCAUGGUGCGGCCUUGACCCUGUGCUUCCCUUCAGCUACGGCGACGACAUAGUGUCUGGGUGGGCUCGUCAGAUCGACGCCUUUCGACUACAUCAACUAUGCUCUUCAUUGUGCAUUUAUUUUGCCAUUGACAUGUUUCAAGAGUCUAGGUUUUUUCCUUGUGUUUCUUUUAGCAAAUGCUGUUCUGCAGGCUGGCUUUUGCCCACCCGAUCAGAAAAGAAAAACAAAUUAAAGGCUAAAAUCAAGCGAUGUUAUAUUCCCUUAGCUAUUACAAAUAUGGAUGAUAAGAGUUAUUUAUCCUUUUUCAACGAGUAACCCUUUACUUGGAAGUUCCAUGUGCAUGGCGCUGCAAGAAAACAAACAUCAUAAUGGGGCAAGACUUUUUUUUUUAUAAACAUCCAAUUUGGGUUAAAGUCUGAAAGAAUUUGGCUAUCUGAACUUUCAGUUUCCACAUUCUUUUACCUACUCAAUUCUUCAGCCAACAGGAUCAAUGGCGACCUACUAACACCAACCAGAACACAUGGGUCACAAACACGAAAAAGGGCUAGAAGGCUACUUAUACACACUCAUGUGUACUGCGAGCAAAAGAACAUAAUGUACAAAACUUUACAAAAUCUAGGGAAUUAAGACCUUCCCGUAUGCUGUUGCUGCCGCUGCUGCUUCAUGCUGGCUCUCCUGGCAACAUCCCAUGGUUUGUGAGGCACACCUACACCUUGCUGGGAUGCGAAGAACGACUCGUAUCCCGGGGAGUCGAAAGCAAAACCAGUGUGCUUGGAGUUCUCUCGAGGGAGCAUGGAGAUCGCAUAGCUUCUUGCUUCUUCUGGGCUCAAAUGGCUCCUCUCAGGCAGAUGUAUCAUGCUGUAUUCGUGGGGGUCAUCCUUGUGCAUCUCCUGGAUUACUUGGUAGUCAUAGGGAAAGAGCCAUCUUUGGAGCCUGAGAAAGCACACAGCAUCAAAGACAACAAUUGAUUCAGCUACUUCAGUAUGUACAAUGGAAGGAAUAACAAACGGAUGGCAUUAACAAACAUAUAAUUUUGCAAAAGAGCUGGUAUCUUACGAUAGAUACAGGAAAUCACCAAAGAGAGCGAUGACUGGAGCAAGCAUUAGUGUGAGGUAGAAGAAAAAGGUACUCAUCAGAACAUAAAUCACAAAAUAUACAUUUUCCUGCACAAGGUACACAGCAUUAAGUCAAUGCAUUUGUAGCAAGUAAUCGUCAUCAGCAGUGUAAUAGCUACAUUAUUCACCCACCUGUCGGUCAAAUGAUGUCAUUAUCGCAGAAUAUAUGAAGAUAAACAGAAACCAGGCCGCUAUACUGCCAGCUACGCUGAAAUAAUGCCAUCUCGUGAUAGAAUUGCACGACAUGAGGAGACGUAGAUUAACAGUCACCACAACACAAGUAAAGGCCAUCGUGCUAACAUCCCAUUGACCAAGAAUCUUGCCAGAUGAACCGUGACCAUGCUGACUUGCAGCUGCAGUAAAGUAAUAGAACACUAUUGACUGGUAGAAGGCAAAGAAACCCCACACCGCAAUCACUUUCCACCGGAAGAAUGUGUUCCUAAUUCCUUCUUGGUAAAGUUGUGGGUAUUUUUUUGAUAGAGAUGCACUCACAUCCUGAAAGGGUUCAGUUUAGUGAAUGUAGCAAGGAGCGUCACUCCAGAACAAGAAAAGUAGAACAAAUACAAGCAACCAUACCUUAUCAAACAACCCAACCAUAAUUACAGGUAGUGCCGUGAAAAUGACAUUAUACAGAGACUGGAACCAGUCAUCAUAAAAUCGCUGACCAGAAAAGCCAGUUUGGAAAGUGAACCAGAACUGAGUUAGUGUAAAAGUCAGAUUCUUGUAGAAGAAGUAUGUGAUAACCUGAAACAGAAAGUGUCAAUGUUAAAAAAAUUAAACUACACAGAUUGGCAGCUACAAGCUAAGGGACCAAAGCAUACCUUGCACAAUCUCAAGUAUGACCACCGCCCAUGUACAAGAAGUAAAUCCGUAAGAUAUCGAAACUGAGCAAUGGCAAAAUCACUCGCCAUAACAGCUUGCAUUCCUUCUUGUCCGCUGAUGCCAAUACCAACAUGAGCAGCUUGAAUCAUACUCACAUCAUUAGCACCAUCACCAAUACUGAGAGUUAUCUUACGUGCACCUUUCCUAACUAAACUUGCAACCUACAAAUGUGUCAACAUUACAUGUUUUGGCAUCAUUCGAACCCAACAGGUUAUUAGGAAAUAAAUCCAAAAAUAAGAGACUUUGAGAUUGCUGAUGGGAUGGGUAACAACCAAAUAAGCACAUAUACAAUAAGUUAAUUAAUACUACCUUUGUUUCAAAAUAUUAUACCAAAACGUCUUAUAUUUUGAAACAGAGAUAGUACUUAUAGUACAAGAGUGUACAGGACAUUUAGUUAAGAGGCCAAAACUAGAAUAGCAAAAGCAACCAAUGCACAGUGGUUAAUAAUGAUCUUGUGAAUCAUGCACAAACUAUUUUGUUGUCAAGGUACAAAAUUGGAUCCUUUAAAAUGUAAUAAUAUCAAUAUCCCCCGUUUAUUGCCCAAGCAUCCUGAAAGGCAUGCAGCUGAGAGCUGCAGACCAUACUGCUAAUUAUUUCAUGGGAAAAGGCAAGGCAUGCAUGAUAAGAACGCUAAAAGCGAGAAUUGAUAUUUACCUGUGCCUUUUGCAGUGGAGAAACUCGACAACAUACAACUGAUUGGCAAAUUAAACUCAAACCAAGAAGAUUCACACGCAGAGCUGGGUCUAGAGCGUACAUCAAGCAUCGUCCAUCAAUAAUGAAAGCCAACUUUCGUCCUGGCGUGCUCCUCAAAGAACGGUGGGCUUCCUCAAGGUAACUUCUCAGACUCUGUUUUACCGAGUCUUUGAUAACACGUGCAAUUUCCACAGGGUCUCCCUGAAAAUGACUGGAACAUUAUUCAUGGCAAAGAUAUGUGCAUAAGUUGAUUUACAUCAAUCAGAUACAAAUGCUAAAUUGCUAAUUAUGGUUGAUCAAACUGCAAAACACACGAGAUAUCCAAAAGGCUAUAUAAACAUGAUGGAGAGGCUAAAGCACUGAAACAACAGAAUCAACAUAAAGUAUUUUGUACUAUUAUGCAACUAAGCCUUUUGUCCCAAGCAAGUUGGGGCAGGCUAGAUAUGAAACCCAAACAGAAACUAAAGCAAAGUGCAGGUAACAAAAGAGCAAGAGAGUAAAUCAAGGUUCAGGCACAUGGACUGCUGAUUUCCAUGCAGCCCUAUCAAAAGCAAAAUCUCUAGAUACAUUCCAGUCCUUCAAGUCCCUUUAACUGCCUCCUACCAAAAGCAAAUAUCAUAGUAAUCCACCAACCAAAGUAACAAGGGAACUACUUGUAACUUCUUAGUUCACAAGUACAUACCAGUUGAGCUAUCCAAUUAUUCUAAAUAAUAUGGUUUGAUACCUUUACCAAAGUCUCAACUUGUAUUCAUUUUAAAGCUUAUACAAGAUAUUAUAUGUUAUGGCUUAACAGUCUCCAUGACACAAUAUGGCUUGACUUCACAGUUUAAUUCUAUAGGAUUAUCUUACCCUGUCUUCAGCAUCUCUAAUUGCAUCUGUCUCAGAAGUGAUGAUGAAUUGUUUUGUAUCGUUAUUCACCAGGCUGCACGCUGCAGAGCAAAAACUAAAUAACUUCAGAAGCUUUUCUAUGUCAGGUGAAAGAGAGAGAAAAAGACCGCCCGCCCCCCACCAAUAAUCCAAAACUGAGCUUCUAUUAGACCCCUUAAGAACGAAACAAGCAUGCAAAUUGAUCUAUAUAUAAUUAAAACCUCACCAUAUGCUAUAUUAAUUGCUGUUUCCAUUUUAUCUCCAGUUAGCACCCAAAUUUUUAUGCCAGCUGCAGAAAGAGUUUCAAUGCAGGCUGGAACCCCUUCUUGCAGUUUGUCUUCUAUUGCAGUGCACCCUAUCAAUAUAAGGUCCUUUUCAAUCAACUCAGCCACCUACAGGGGAAGAAACAGAAGGAAAUUAUAUGGCAAUGUCCCAGCAAUAUCUUAAAUCAGAAUAUACAUUAAGUCUAUUACUUCAAAUUCCUUUUUCCUAGAAAUCACAGUGAACUUAGUACAUGAAAGAAUGAAAGGAUAAUGCUUUUCUAAUGGGGAUUUGAAAAAACAUCAUAAAAAUAAUAAUAUAAAGUACUGUAUGUUCUUGUUCUAGAUAAAUUACAAAUAUCUUUUGCUCAUGAUCCUCUUUCCUGACUAAAAAAUAUAUAUUAUUAUGUAAAAUACUAAUGUUCUAUGGCAGUACAAGAUAAUAAAUUAGCACAAAAAACUAUUAAACUGCAAAUGUCAGCUGUUAGGGAUGGAUGACAUGACUCCUGUAGUUUUGGGGGGAGAGAGAGAGGAGACACACUGAACAAAUUACUUCCUUCGUCUCCAAAGAUUGCCAUGCCACAUUCUAUUCGGUCAGUCAACCUUUUACAACUUCAAAAUUAACAAUUAUAAGUGAAUUGAAUUACUACAUGAAAAAUAACAGCACUCAAUUUGCUUGCAUAAUAAUUUGUACGCAAAACUUUUGCUUGUAUAUUAGCAUAGAAAUCAUAGCCAGAGUUUUAUGUUGGGAGAAUAUAAAAUUAAAAAAUGGCCUACAUUUGUCAGGUACAUUCAGUUAAUUGUUUCCAAAACCAAAUUAAUUUUCAUACAUAAAUACCAAACGGAUCAAUAGCAUGCUCAACAGUGCACAUGAGACUCGAGUUCAGUACUGGAUGACAGAAAGUAAAAAAAAUCAGGCAAGCACUAGAAGGUGGAGGGGAAGUAAUCGAAAUUCAAAUCACAGGGACUGUUCAGCCUGUAUACUCAACAGAAGAGGAUGGUACACAUACCUCAUCAAGCUUCUUAUCACGAUCUCGUAAAGAAGAUUUAGCUUGAACAAACUUCUCAUUCCAGCUUUCGUACUGCUCCCUGCUUAGAUCUCGAUAAGCAAGGCAAAGCGUGCGCAAGCCAGCAGAGCCAAAUUGUUCUAGAUGUUCUCUGCUUGUCUUUUUAAUGUCAUGAUUUCCAUCAGCUAACCGUUCAAAAAUGACAUUAUCAGCGCCCUGUUACACAACAUUUGUAUAAGGUUAGUGCAUCAAUCUACAAAGUGAUAGCUACAUAAAGAUUCUUUUUUCUUGUAUUACCUUGCAAUACAGAACAAGUUUUCCAUUUGGGAAACGGCAAACCACAGAUUGGCGCUUUCUUGUACUGUGAGUGCAGUAAAGUGUGAAGUGCAGAACAAUGAUUUCAUCUUGUCAAAUUUAAAUUGAAAACAGAUAAACCAGACCUGUUGAAUUCCAAAACAUUCAGAAUUUCAUAUGCAACAUCUUGUAUACUCCCCAUCCUCUCAACAUGUGAUUCCCGAACCAAGACUGUGGUUGGCGUACGUCUACAAGACAGGCACAAAAUGUCAACCACCGGCAUUGCCAUUCACAAUAAAAAUGCCACAUGAAAUAAUUUGCAACAAAAAUCAUAAGAACUUAGAUGAGUUCAUGUUCACAGCACUUGCUUUAACACUUGUCUUAAUUUACAACGGCAAUUUUUUGUUGAUGGGCUAAUAGUUUAUUUAUGCUUCUUAGUAUGUACAUUCAGUCCUUCAUACAACAAACUAUAUAAGCAAUAACCUGGGUGAGUGACUCUUUUAUGCACAUUUUCCUUGGGACCAUAGCAUAGUUUUUUAAGAUACCUUGUUUGCAACAAACUGAUAAGAGGAAUCUAUAACUGUAUUUAAAGGCAAGGUAAGACAUGCCUAUAAAAGAAGAAACCAAAAUUCUUCGCAGCAGCGACAAGCGCGGCCUCGUCGGGAGAGGCAGCUUGAUAAGUAAUCUUUUCCGGUGUCUCCUCACCCUCAGGAAGAACUGUAUGACAGAUUGCAAGGCAUCUGCAGAAUUGCUAUAGAGCAAAUAACAAAGUUGUUACACAACUAGCACAUUAACAAGGGAAAAUGUGAAAAAGGAAAAUAGGUUCCAAAUUUUAUUAGUAAGGGCAUAUAUCGUGAUAUGUGAAUAAUUUGUGUCAACUAAAUCAAAACUGAUUAUGACCAAAGGGGAACCAAUCGAACUAUUCCACAGGUAGUCCCGUAUUUACCACGCAAGCAUCAGGAUUAGGUUCAUUUCUCCAUGCACCACGCAUUAUUCUAGCAUCAUCAAAGUUGAAUCCUUUCUCAUGAACUGCAGUGGCUGAUCUUUUACCCUAAAAAAGGCAAGUAAACUGGAUAUUAAAUCAGUUGUGCAUUAAAUUUUUCAUCAUAUACCACCACACUUCAAUAGCGUAAACAACAAAGAAAAUGUUGUAGACCUCAUCAUCAUCAAUCUUGACUCCGGCUCGCUCGGCUCCUCCUUUUUCAAUCUCUGUGAUGCCAGUUCCAUAUAUUUCCCCUCCAAUCGAACAUUUAAAGAAUUCCAUCAAGUUUCUUGUAAGUGUUCCAGUUUUGUCAGAAAAUAUAUACUCAACCUGAACCAUUAGUGGGGCAAAAAAAAUUUGGCAGAAAUGUCAAAUUAUUUGCAAGUGUUAAGUGCAUUUUAGUACCACUCGGCAUUUGUUCAGUCAUAUAAGCAUUUCUGGGGAUCUAGAACAGUUUUUCGGUGGGAGUAAGUCACUUAAUAUUAGUGAAAUGAGACUGUUCCCCAAGUGCUUAUAAUUGAUCCCACUUUCUGGAAUGAGUCGGUGCAGUGAGGUCAUUCUAUCCAUUAACCAAACCCAGCCAUAUAGGUCAAAUAAGUAAAUAACCCCAUUUCAGCAACAAACAAAGGGGCUUUCAUCAAACUAAACAGAAUGCUAAGGAACAAAAAAAAAACUGAUAUUACCUGCCCAAGCUCCUCAUUCAGAUUAGAAGUCCGAGCCAAAGCUGGGGUGUUGCUCUCGGCAUGAUACAUAUUCAGAUCAUUGUUAAUAAACUUUGCACACUGAAUGAAUUUGAUCAUCUGCCAGCCAAAAUAAACAUAAGGUCCAAUCCAAAUACAGGGUACACUAAAUGAUAAAUUGGUCAAUAUACCUCAAUGGAUACAUAAAGAGAAAUGGGGAUGAUCGUUGAGUAUAGAGUUAUUAGAGUAAACAUAGUUAAAAUGGUCACCUGCAAAAGUACAAACCUAUGAUAUAAGGCCACUUAGAGAAUAUUCUCUACAAUAAAUUAACUAAAAUAAUAUAUACCACAAAUCUGUUCUUGGGAUUAAACUGGUCCUCGACACGCCCACGCAAUCCAAGAUAGAAGUAUUUCUCAUUAAUAAACACGCCACUGUUCACAAAAGCCAAGUAUGAUGAGUCCAUUGGUAGAGUUUUAGGUUUCUAAAGAACGUGCAAGCUAAGCAGUCAUAGUUACCAAAAUCUAUAUGCUGAACAGAGCACUUCCAUUUCUGACCAUCUAGAAAGUGCCCUAUUAUGUACCUCCCACAUAAAACCACUAAGAAAAAAGAUAAGGCUAUUAAGACCUAGUCAUGUGCUCAUCUAUACUGCUCCUAUGCCACAAUAAAAAAAUAACUUCCCCAAACAAGCUCCUGACAACUCAUGUCAUAAUGUUUAAAGUUUAUCUCUCUAUUAACAGUUGUUUUUUCAUGAUCAAUUAAAUUGUGAAAAAUGAUUGUGCAAGCAUAAGCCUCCACAACAUCAACCUAACCGAUAUAACUCAUGUUCAGAGAAUAUACAUGUAAACAAUAAUACAAGAUAGAUAAGUCAAAUAAAUGAAGUGGGCCAAAUAAAACACUGACCUUCCAAUAGCACCAAUGACACACAUCGUAAAGAGGGUUGCAAAUAGAGCAAGAAUAAGCUUGUCUAGUUUCUUCUCCAAUGUACUUCUUUUAGAGGGAACAUUCAUAGAAUUCAUCAUAACCUGCAAUAGUGUCCCACUGCAGUAAAUCUCAAAACUAGAAGCACAUCUAACCUACAAGUUGAAUAUAUAGGGACACAAAAUUGCACAUACUUUCGUCUCAUGGCCCGUGAAUAUAACAGCCGCGACAAUGUACUCUGUAUUACGAAGGCUGCAUCCCUGUGGCAAAGUGGUAAUAAGAGGUUGCAUGUGUGCCACAUAAAGAGAGAGAAUUAAGUGUCAUGCAAGACACCGUUCAGUCUGGUGAAAGUAAACAUUUCUUUUGCACUUUACAAACAUUGCUUCAACCCUUCACCACUUAUCCUACAUAUGGGACUAGAGAAGAAAUGGAAGUUGUUUAUAUGAAUGUUAAACAUUUCCAAAUUGUUUAUAUCAUAGCUAUCCUUGUUUGCAAACCAAUAAGAACAAUAUUAUUAUAGAGGUGUUUUAUGAUGAAAAUUUCUGCUGGUGACAUUUGGGUGUCGUCAAUAUUGGUAUUUGGAGGAGAUGUUGGUGAUCAAAGUUAAAGGCCGAGUAAAGGCAUCACGCUAUGAUGUUAUUUUUUACCUGAGGGAUUUUCUUAACAAACUCAUGCUAAAUCUAGAACAUGCAAACAACUUUGCAGGUGGACAAUCUUGUAAAGAAAUUUCAAGGGCAUGUUUGUGUGAGGGGUAUUACUUUGGUACGUGUUGGUAACUACAUACCUAAUUGUUACAAGAAAAAUCUCAUCCAAACAAGCCCUAAGGACAUUAUGGACCUUGCUACUGCAAAGUUGGUAAGUCGAAAAUACGACAGGAUGUCUGAUUGAUAUGUAGGACCUGGACCCACAUGUCAUUCUCACAGCGAGUCGCACUAUUUCAAAUGUCAACUUUGUGGUGGCAUGGUUUCAAUUUUCCCAAUAAGAAACUAGAUACAAAUAGCAUAGAUGAACAGCACUUACCCUUAGUAGUAUUUGAUUUGGUGAAAUUGGUAUAGUUUGCUUGUCCACAAUAAGGUUCCCGGUAAAUGUAUAAAGUGAAUUGUUUGGCUGUUCGCAUUGUAUUUCACCUGUAAGCCAUGAAACAUACAGAUAAUGUGAAGUUAAGAAAAUGUAGAAUAGUUAAGUGAAGUUCAGAAAAGGAGCAAUGCUUCCUACACCAACUACCGAAAAAUGUCUGCAACAUGGAACAAGAAUAGAUAAAAACCUUUGAAUUCAGAAGCCUUUUCAGGAAUUACGCAGUCCCAGGUUUUCUCCAAAGCCUUCCUUAUUUUCAGGUUAGUUUCCCCAUCAAGAUUUGCUGUCUAAGGUAAAUAGAAGUAUGAUACACUUCAAUUAAAACAGAGUUUCUCUAAAUCAUUCAAUAAUUUCAAUUUGGACAAAAGAUGGAGAAGGUAAGAAUGAAUAUAUUGACCUCUAUGUAGCAGACACCAUCAGGGUUCGUACUUGAUAGGAAGAGCAAGUCAGAAGGAAAGUAAGUGUCUUGCUUGAUCUGCUCUAAAGAAGUGCCAUCACUAUUAGUCUUUUUGGAUAUGUGUAUCGAGCUGAAGAUUAAAUUUGCACAGCACAAAAGAUCAAGUGCAUUAAUUUGUGGAAGCAACAGAUCAAUUGAAUUGAUCAUCAAAUUGCUAUCAGGAAAGAUGAAGACAUUACCCUCACAAUAUCUCCAACCUGCAGUCUUUUCCAAGGGGCACUUUCCCAUUUUUGACCUUGCAAUACAUCGACGUGCGCAUUAUUAAUUGACAUGUCAUUCUGGAAACGUUUCUGUAUAAUGGGAGGCAAACAAAAAGGGAAGAAUAUCAGAUAACAUUAAGAAUAGCAAUAAAAUAGUGGAGCAACAGAGCAUGAGAGCAAUACUAACCCAGUCCUCAAAAGCUUCCUUGAUGAGUGAAACCAAAAGCACUAAACUAAGUGGAACCACAUUGGUGACAGGGUGGACUGGACUGCGAAGAUACAAGCAUGUAUGAACUAAGAUUUCUAGAAGUAAAGGUGAAGGAAAGCAAAGGAUGACUGAAUCAACUGAUGGACUUGAUAUGCUAAGAAGUGUCUAGCUGUAACAUGAGAAUUCCAUAGGGUGCAUGCAUGAGAGAGAGAGAGAGACCUAAUUGGUGUAGUCGACAAGAUUGAAAUCAUAAGAAAGUAAAGAUUUGCCACCCGUCUGAACUGUCAAAGCAAAAAAAAAAACAAAUGAAUUACAAAAGGUUCCUAUGGUCAAAUUGCGAUAAUACAGAAAGGGAACAUCUAAAUCGGUGUUACAGCUACCAUUGCAAAGUUUCUUUAUUCGAUAUGGAAAAAUGCAUUACAUGUUUAAUGUAUGAAGCCAUUGAAAUACUUUAAUGUACCUUACGUAAAAAACAGUGGAUAAUGAAAUUGCCAGAAUUAUGGUAUCGCAUAAAAUGAAGGUUACAUUGAGCGAAAAGCAUGAUCAGGGCUUUACCAAAUAACAAAAUCAUACUUCUCCUUUUCUCAAUAUAUGGCAUUUUAGGUUUCAUUGAAGACAAGUCUUUGAAAAGGAUUUACUUUGUGUUGUUUUUAAGGCAUGAAAUUUAUAUCACUAGAUUCAUCCUCAAAAGUACUUAAUGUGGAUUCAUAUCAUAUAAAUCACAUAUUAAUGAAGUAAUUCUUGGUCAAAGUCUUGUAUUAACGAAACCUAAUAUGUCCUGUAUUGACAAAAUGAGGGAGUAUAUUAUCUAACAGUGCAUGUAUACAGGCACGAUACUGGUAGCGCGUAUUACAAGCAAGGUAUCUUAAAAACAUUGCAACACAGUGCCAGACCAGGUAAGCAACUAAGCAUCUCAUGUAUCCACUAUUUUAAGGGAAGUUGAUCCAGAGUGAGGAAAUAAACAUUUUUAAGGAGAUAUAUCAAUUUGCAAUGUGAAAAUGAUACGGAGUAGUAUAAUCAUUUCACUGUGAUAACAAAUACUCCCUCCGUUCUAAAUACUUGUCGCUGUUUUAGUGCAAACUAAAACAGCGACAAGUAUUUAGGAACAGAGGGAGUAACUUCCAUUUACCGUUAGACAUGAUACAAAAUAAUAUGUUGAAAAAAAAUCUAGCCAAAAACUAAAAAACAAACAGAAAAUCUGCAUUAAACGAUGACAAACCCAGCAGGUAUGUUGAUUAACAAAAUAUGUAUGAACAAAAAACAACGCAUCAAUACCUGUUCAAACAAUCCUUUAGGUAGAAAUGUCAGCACACUGUACUUUGUAGUCGACACAGAAUUUCCCUGGAAAUGUAGAAUGAGAAUGUUAAAGAACUAAUUCUAGCAGAAAAACAAAGUAGCGCUCUGCAUUAGAAUCGCGAUGGUCUGAUACCCAACAUGAGGGAGAUUCUGAAACUAAACAGAAGAGCUAAUUGCAACUAGAAGCAUGAAAAAAGUAUAGCUUGAUCUUUUUACAACAUCAAGUCUGAAUACAUUCAAGCAUUUACACUAACUUGGAACAAAAUGUGGGUGUCAAAGAAAAUGCAUGAAUACACCUACUUACAAUAAAGCACCAAUUUUGCAGUGAUUGGACAAACUAUGGUUAAAAUACUUAAUAAUAGAGUUCUACGUAUUUGGAGGCAUAAAACGCAUUGCAGUUGGAGCAGUGGCAUUAUCAUGUUAGUCAGUCUAACAUGGCAGUGAAUGACGUGAAUUUUUUGCUAGUUUAGACCUCUGGCCAGCGCAAUUGACAAAAAUGCCCCCCUCUCAAAACUAAUGCCAAAAAUGGUCUGGCAGAAGGCCCGAAAGGCGCCACAUUUCAUUUUUCGCCAUCUGAGCUGCGCAUGCAAACAUUCCGACAACCUGAAAGGCGGAAAGGCCGUUCCGCCUACUGCAUUUGAUGAAUGCACCUGACAAGGGCGGAAGGUGAACUGGGCCCUGCAGAUGGAAGCAAUUUCCACAUUUGUUACAGACCUGGAAUCUUUUUUUUUGUUGGAGUCGACGGACCAUGUAUGUGCGGAUGCAUAGGAAUCGGCAAGCAGCCUAGCUGCUAGUUCACGGGCACGUUUUACAUUUUCUUUCCUCAGGUUUGGCUAGUGCUACCACGUUGAUACUAAUCAACGCUUCUUGUGAAUGGGCUUAGUUGCUUCUACUAGUCGUGCGAGCGUUAAUCUUUUCUCUGUGCGCCUGCAUGUGCGGGCGUGGGAAUCGGGUCAGGUCCCUGCAGACAGCACGCCUGGCUGCACUGGGCCUGCUUCAGCUUCCGCCCCUGAAAAUUCACUUUCGUCCAUUUCAACUGGAAACAAGUAGGCUCCACCUGUCCUGUUGGCGGAAAGUUCAUUCCUCCUACCCAGUGGCCACUGGGUCAGUUGCUGGGCUUUCCACCACGUCAUUUUUCAAAUUAUAUUUCAGAUGGAGCUAUUUUUGCCAAUUCCGUUUGACAAGGGGCUACAAGAGCAAAGAAAUUGAAUGACAUAGCAAGCAAUCAAUUUCCCCUUAUAGGUAAAUAAUAAACAGCUUUGCUUCAGCUUACUGUCAUCAGCUGGUGGCUGACUGCCCUGACCAAACACAAGUUCAGUAAUCUACACAGCAAGCGGCACACAGGUGCAGCUAAGCACAUGGAUGAACAGAAUAUUCCAGCCAUUGAGGCUCAGCUCUCGAAGCUUAAUGCCAGGUGGCAUCUACAUUGUAUUGCAGCCCGUAGCACCCUGAUUGACUAGUAACCCAACAAUGAGACAAGCUCUAAUCCACCCAAUGACCUCACAGUUGGCAAGAAAUGCAGCCCUUAGUGACACGCACCACCCUACAUAACUUUCUCGUGGACUAAUCAGUAUGAAUCAUAUAAACCCUCUGCAAGCUGCAGUGAAAUAAAACUACUACUACUGAACUAGCUAUUGUCCCAGAUGGCCAUCUCCAACCCAACCGCCCAAGCAUGAAACAAGGGGCCAGUUACGAGAUCUAGGCCUACAGACCCCUAGACCUUGAGACAACCGACCUGUUGAUCAUCCGAAUUAGAGGAGGAGGUGCACACCCGUACCUUGUACCCGACCGGCGCGUUGGCUUCGCGGUCGUUGCAGUAGAUGGUGCGCACGGUGGGUGCCUGCGGCUGCGGCUGCCGUCGGAGGCUGCCGCCCCCGCCGCCGAGACGCGCCGUCCUGGACGCCUCAGCGCGGCCGGCCUGAGAGGUCCCCCCCCGCGGCGACUGCUCGCCGCCCAGCCGCGCGGUGGCAACCCGCAUCAUCUCCUUUAUGCGCGAGCUCAUCCUGCCCCCCUCAGCGCCAAACCCAGCGCUGGAGGAGCCGGCGGGAGAUCUGGGGAAACCUCACGGUGGAUCGGAGGGGAGACCUAGUCGGAUUUGCGCGGCUUUCUGGUGGAUUUCAGUGCCUCGCUGAGGAGGGGAUUCGAUUUGGGUCACGCGUUCCCGUAUGUGCGUAUUUUUUCCGUGUAAUUUUUUUGUUUUGCCUUUUUCUUUUCCUUUGGCUCCGGGAGAAGAGAAGACAGGAGGGGAAGGAAAAGCGAAGGUCGCGACUUCGCGAGGAAGAAAAUGAAGGGAUUACUGCAGAUCACACCCUUGAUUAUUUUCGAAUAUGGAAAGCUCCAGUAACUGAAGUUUGAAAUUCCAGCCGCGUUUGUCUUUUCCUUCUUCGAGCAAACAACCGUGUUCUUGACUUGUUCUAUGUUUUUGCUGUCCGGAGGACUACCCGAUUUGCAAGUAAAUAAUGGCAUUAAUUUCAUAUAAGCACUUUAGGACACCACACUUGACAUGGUUUUCUACUGACGACGACUAUAUGGUGGCUUUGAUGUUCCAUGAAUAGAUCUUUUUAGCGGUGUUUCAAGUUCAGGUGUUAUAACAAAGCAUUACUCUUGACCUAUCUUCCCUUGCGACCAUGCUUUUUGAAUCGCCAAGUCGAGUCGAAUCGCCCCCCAACAGACUUGGAGGUUAGUAUGAUUAGUCAGAAACUAGUCUCGACUAAUCAACCCAAGUCGAGCCUAGUGAUCAGUGAGGUUUAGGGAGCUCUAGCAGGGAGCAUUAGAGGAAAGGAGUGAAUUGCAGUAGAGGGGAAGCACGAGGGAACAGUUUUUGUGGUGCUGGAGCUUGAAGAAGAGGUUCAUGGCGGCUAGGAUCUAGGAGUCGAUAAACUUAGAACGCCCGUGUUGAGGCAAACGCGUUGAGGAAGACGACUUCAAAGGUGGUUGGCUCAUUAUCAGGAUAGGUGCGUGCCUGGCAGCCCAUAAAGGCCUAUUAGAAAACCCUAACUCCCCCCUCCCCCCCCCCCCCACACACACAUUGCCUUCUUCUACACCACACACGCACCAAUGGCGGCCAUCUUCUUCCCCUUCCCUGCUGCUCCCCAUGCCUUCUCUCCCUCCCCGAAAAGAAAUAUCUUCCGAAAAUUCUUCUCUUCGAGUCAAGUUGAGGGGCUCGCGGCGUUCCUAGUCACGGCGGCUAGUCGGAGAAGUCGCGGUUCUAGCUGACGAGUCGCGCGACUUGCUCUGCUAGUCGAGUCGCGGCUGCAAGCCGCCAUCAUUGUGCUGGCUCGGCGACUAGUUGGCGAUUCAAAAACCAUGCUUGCGUCUUAUAAUUUUGUUUCCUCUUAGAUUUUUUUCAAUUAUGUAUGGAACUCUUUUAAGCUUGGCUAACAUAUUGGGUCAAUUUGUCUCCCAUUGAAAAAAAAACAAUUUCCUAUAAAAAAUAAAGUAUCCACAAAACAAUAUGCAUAGCGCAGUUGUUUUCAAAGUUGUGGAUGAAACUUUGUGUUGUACAGGCAACCACUUAAUAACUUGUUCGGUUGUAGAAUUCCCCGCAUGUAUUGAAGAGGAUUAAGAGAGAUCUAAGGAAAAUUGAUCUGCAAUUCGAUCAUUCCCUCUUAAUCCCCAUCGGAGUGGAAUCAACCGAACGGGGCUAAUGUGGACCAUAUCACCUUGAGGACUCCAUUCUUCUUUUAUGGCAACGUUGCAUGGACCUUGAUAUGAACGCACGUGCCUGCAAUCUCUAUUAUUUUUUCGUAAAUAGCAACUGUCCUUUCUGUAUCUUGUAAUAUGUUUUCUACAAUUUUAUUUGGGAUAUUUCGUCAAGAACCCAAAUCGAUUACAUUUUCCACUUUGGCGAAUGAGUCAAGAUUCUCCAUGUGUUCCAGCGAGGCAACUGCGAGCUACACAUGUAUGGUGAAACAAGCCUCGCAACUUCGUAAGUAACUCCAAAACUACAUCAGCACGUCUCUUGAACUUUGGAAACACACAGACGUGUUCCACGACCGUGAGGCGACGGAGUUAACGGGGCAGCGUUGCCGGAAAGACAAGAGUACCGUAACAAGGCCCAGACUGGGCUGCAUCGGCGUUCUGCCUCUAUUACAAGCGAGAGAUGUUGAACCGGCCAAGGUUAGGCAAGGCAGUCAGCGGGAGGAUUUUUUUUUUUUUGUUGUUGGUUUUGAAGAGGCGCGGGAGGAGAAGAACUUGCUUGACCAGCCCACAAGAUCGUGAACCGGUAUGACAUUGACAUUUUAUUUAGGGCCAGUAACGUGUAAUUAGAAGUACUAGCUUACAUCUCUUCCUUUUUGAACCGUCAGAUCUGCAACCAUAUCAUCUCUCCCCUUUGUCCUCUUCGCUAUGCCGAUUUUAGUGAAACGCCGCUGCCAAAUCUUCACAGGAUUGUGAACCGGCAGCAGCUUCGACCCUUCAAUAUUAUUAUUACAGCUAAAUAAAAGACUGAAAUUAUAGGUGAGGUCCUUUGUUCUAAUCGCCCAAGCGAGCAGAAGCCAAGAGAUUACGUGCAAGCAUAGCAUGGCCAUGUUCGCCAACUCAUGACAUAGUGGCACAGGGACUAACCACCUGGAUUACAUGGCUAGCUUCCAUAUAUGUGCAACAAAAUAUUGGUACCAGGCAGCCAUCUGUGCCACCAACCAUAAACUCCCUGAUCCCAAAAAAUACAAAAUACCAAGAGUUUCCACCCACAUCAGUACAAGUGCACAACAGUUUAAGAGACAAGCCAAGGAUCAUUCCCAGUUUGUGGGAAUAAAUAAGAGUCCGCAGCAAACAGAAAACUCAAAAUCGCUGGCAAAGUUAGGAUGUGGAAAAAAGAAAGGCUUAAAAUGAUCUAGCCAUGGCGUCAGAAUCUAUUAUCAAUGUUUCUCUCUCAAGGAUUUCCCUUCUAUAUAAAGUAUAAUAUUACAAAGGGGCUGCUUAAAUAUCAUGGACUCCUGGAAUGUAAAGAGGGUAAUAAUCAACACUACAUGAGCCUCCUUUUUCCUGAGGCUGCUUCCUAAGACUGACUGACUGCUUCCCCGAGGAUCCACAUACACCCUCCCCUCUCCUCAAGUUCCACCUCCCACCAUGGAAGUUAAACCCCCACCAUGGAUCCGAUGCUAACCAACUGUACGCGACCUGGAGAAAGUCAGUCAGCUUGGUGGUUCAAUCAAGACAGAGCAUCACGAUAUUGCCCAAAUGGUAUAAUUGGCAGGAUCAAUAAGUAGUUUAUGCUCGCAGCAAGAUCCAAAAGAACCAAUCUACCAUGACUAAUGUAUGACAAGAAUGAUGUCUUAUGUCUACUUUCAGAUACACUAUGGUCCAGGUGAAACAAUAUUUUAAAGUUUAGUAAUUACUGGCAGUAGUAGACAGACCACAGAAGUGUAAAGAUAUUUGCACACAUGACCUUUUAAUCCAAGGCUAACCCAACCUUGUAAGCUACGUGCUGUUUGUGCUAACGCUGCUGCUUGAAUGCAAUUAGACAGUGGUGAUGUCCUUGUUAGUCUGUUACAUACCUAAGGCAUCACCUCCUGAUUCUAGGUUUGCACCGGAACUCUGCUAAGAGCGCUAUGUGAUCUGAUGACCAUUCAGGUGAAGGAAGAGCAGUGUCUUUUCUUAAGCUCUCCUCAUCCAGAAGUUCCAACAAAGACUCCACGGUCAACGAAUCCGCUGAAACAAUAAAGGAAACAUGAUCAACUGACCAUAAUCAAACAUAUCACAAUACUACAAGCUGAUUCUGAAGCAAUUCCCAGAAGUCUAAAUACAGCAUACAGGUCAGGUACCUACCUGUGUAAAAUAUAUAAUCAACAGUUCCAGUGAAAUCCCUUGUGCAAUUUGUGAAAAGUGGUUCAUUUGUUCCUGGAUCCAUCCUCCUUCGCUGGUGCUCUAAAUCAUAGCCAACACCUACCAUUCUUGCAAAUGAAGAAUAUGCACUGACCUGCAAACAAGUAAACAUUGGUCAGAAUUUUAAAGGAAGAACAAGAUAGACAAGCUUGAUAGUUUUACUGUACCAGAGGAAGCUGGUGCGUCAACUUGCUCACGGGGCGUAAAAUUGAAAGUGGGUCUAUGGCCAGAUCUGGAUGCAAUUGAUCAACUUUGCCCACCGCAAGAAGCCCAUGUGGAGUACUGAAAGACAAAAGGAAGCACUUAGAGAUUUAAAGUUAGAAAAAACAAGUAAACCUGAAAAAUAUUGCUCCAAUAGAAUCUUGACAUGCACCUCCCCGGGAUUGAAUUGAAAUCCCCACAGACCAACAUUGGAAUGUCUGCACUGUUGGCUAUUUUCUCCAAUCCUUUUAGUAGUGUUUGAACCUGCAAAAAACAUACUUACUUUCGAUCUGAAUUUUUCAGAUGUUGCAGAAUGCUAGCCUACAGAGAAUGUGACAAUACUGACCUCCCAUAGUUUCACAUCUUUGAGGUCUUGGUGGACAUUUACAUGUGUAUUGGCCUGAAAUUUGAGAUCAUUUAAAAGAAUGAGACCUCCAUGACUCCAAGUAGCAUAAGCCUAGGCCGUAUGAACAAUGGGAAAUCUGUAGUAAAGUUGGCCUCAAAAUCUAGAGUCUAGAGAGCCAAGUCCCAAUCAUCCGCCAUUAACAUAUAGAUGUUUCCGUGCAUCUUAUGCUACUAAGGUCAUCCUACACAGAUAUAUGUUUCACUUCAUUCCUAAAUGUUGUGAGCAAAGAAGGAAAAGAAUCCAUAUGUUGUUCUGCACUAUGCUGCUAGCAGUUCAAUAGCUAAACAUACGGGAAAGUCCACUUUUGGCCCCUUAACUAUUGCCUCAGAUCAAAAUCAUCUAAUUUGCACCCUCAACUAUCAAAAGCAUCCAAGUUACAUCUGAAGGCAAUAUUUGUUAGAGGCUUUGUGUGAUGUGGCAUCCAUGUCAACGUGUUUUGCCACAUCAAUCGCUGCUGGGCAGUAGGGCCCACAUAUCAUGGCUGCCGUGCCCCUUCUUUCUUUAUAAUUCUUCCUCCUUAGCCAUGCCAUGGCCUCCUCUGUAGGCUAUAGCUUCCACUGCUGCUGCUACAGAUAACCCAUGUUUGACGUUGCAUAACAUCUUCUGAUUUAGAGAGGGGUAUCCUGACAGACAUGUACCAGUCUCCGCAAACCGCUGCACGGCUGCAUCCUGAGGGGAAUGGACAAAGAGAGGAUUAGAGAGGAAGGCUGAGGAGGGAGGCGUUUAGGGCGACUCCAACACGGCCACCCAAAUCGGACACAAAAAGUGUGUCCGUUUGGGUCUGCUGGUGCCCCUAACACGGUCACCCAUUUGGUCCGUUUUAUUAUUUAGUAUUGGCCACGGAUAGGCGGGCCAGGGCAAGGACAAGGGAGGACAAGCGCAGUGUCCACCCGCUGUCCGCCCAGACACAAACCCGGUCAGAUUUGGGUCGGCAAUGGGUUGAGCUGGACAGAAAAGCAGACAGCCGCCACACCGGACGAAAUGGGUCGCCGCGUUGGAGUCACCCUUAAUGCUAAGCUGGGAAAGAGGAAGGGAACAGAAAUAAGAGGAUGAGGACAAGGGAGGGAGAAAAGGGUGCUUCCAAAAAAUCAAUCCCAGGCAUGUGGGGCCUACUGCCCAGUGGAGAAUGAGAUGUCAAAGUUGCUGAUUUGGCGGCUACAUACAGAAUAUCACUCAUGAAACCAGCUUCUGGUCCUAUCGAACGGUUUCAUGAGUUGAUGGUUCAAUUUAGACCAGGCAAAAGUUGAGGGAUCAUAAUUAGGCUUUUCCAAACAUAAAUGAAUGUCAUGCUGUAAAAGUAGUGUUCGUCAUCCAGUAAACUGGUUCGAAUAUCCAACAAGCGCACAACUACUUUAUACACAUCUAAAGAAAGAACAGCUAUUUACAUACCACACAAAGGAGCUGCCUUUUACCAGGAGUUUCAGUUCCUUGGUUGCCAAAUUUUGCUUCUAAAACCGCAAUCAGCGCAAUAUUAUCCUUCAAAGCAAAUAGAACGUGUGAUAAAUAACAUCACUUUUUUUUGCGAAAAGUGAUAAAUAACAUCACUGUAGCAUACAUUAUUUCUUUUGAAGUUAAUCUUACUUUAAUCAGUCGACUUAAAGCCACUCUUUUCUGGGAAGCUGGAAUAAUAGCUUCUGUUAAAGACUGUGCAGCCUUAUUGAACUCAACCUACACAAGCAAGUACAAGUAUUAGAUAGCUGCAAAUAUCAAGCUGCUGCAAACCUGCAGUACAGGUACCUCGUAUUUUUUGACAUGUGAAAAUCUAUCUCUACGGAAGAAAGUAGCACAGCCAUCAAUGGCAUUAGGAACUCCAGCAUACACCUGUGACAACAGUAAAGUAAAAUCAAACAAGAGACAAAAGGUAUUAAACCAAAAUAUGAAGGAAAAAAUCAACCCAAAGAUACCUCUGUUGUCCGUUUCUUGUAAAGCGCCUGAUACCCAUGUUUAUCAAACUCAGGAGCAAAAAAAUCCUCAAAGUGGUUCAAUUGUACCUGAAAACAGUAGGACUUGGCUUAAUUCCCUCCUGUUACAAUCUUCGGUCACUCUUCGUUUUUAUUGUAAGCCGCUUCAGUAAACUCUUCAUAAUAUAUAUGCAGACAAUAUUCGUGAAAGUUUAAACAGCAAGCAAACUAUCAUAAAUUCAUAAUCCAACAUCACUGAAAAGUGAAAACAAUCAAACAAAGUGAUGGCACAAAUAUGGAAACGAACAGCCCAGCAGUAUAUGAAAGAUUGUAGGUUGAUGAACAGGGUUCCGGCAUUAAAGUUUACCGAGUCGCAAAAAUUAUAUGAUCAACCAAAUGAGACAUGCUCGGUUCCUAAAACAAAUAUAUGAGAUGAAAAGCUGAAAAUAGGUCACCAAAAUAAAUAAAUUCAGAAGAUAGCAAACAUAUGAUACCUCCUGAAGACAUAUAAUAUCAGCAUGAUAACCAAUAAUUUCGCGCAUCAAAUUUUGUCUUCUGUAAGUCCAUGAAAGUGCCCACGUUGGGCAGUAGCUAUAUGCAUCAGAUGUAGCAUAUGCAUCAGCAAGAAUAUUAUAGGACAGCACCGUGAAUGUCCCAAAAGAAGAAGUCUGGCUGUCUAUAUCUGAGUGACCCAAAACAUCUCCAUUCACUUGGAUAAGGCGGCGUGGAGUAGGAGUUGGUGCUGGAAUCACACGUGAUGUCAUAAUUGAAGUUGGAGACCCCGCAGGUACUUUCUUUUCCGUAUCCACCGCUGCACAUUCAAAUCUUAGAACAUGCCCAAUAUCAUCAGCAGUUGGUGUAUACGUCUGCGAGCGUCCCACUUCAAACCAUGUUUCACCCGAGUUCUUAUCAGUGCCUGAGGGAUACAAGGGAACAGGUCCAUUAUUAACUCCAGGGCUCUGUCCAAGAUUUGACAUUGAGCCAGACCCAGAACUUAGAAUCCCAGAACUACCGCUGCCAAAUCUACCAAAUAGCUCCUCCUCUUCAGCUCCAUUUUCAUUUAAAGCACUACUAGCUCGCUCAUGCAAAACCCUGUGGUGCUGCCAUGCAUCAGAGAAGCACUUAGCAGAACAAUGGUAGCUCUUAGCAGCAGGUAUUUUUGACUUGAGACAACCUAAGCACUGAAUUGUUGCUUGCUCCAUCGGAUGUACACUGCAGAUAGUAACUUUUCGAUCACUCUGUAUGCGAUACCUUCGAGCGAAAAGUCAAAUCAGUAUAACCAUGUGCUACUAGAUACAGAAAAAGUUUAGAAGAACAUGAUUGAAUAUAGUAACUACAAGAAAGGACACCUAAAUUGCCAAUGUUUUAGCAUGUAUGAGAUCCAGGAAAACUUGCUAUCAGCAUCUUGGAAGUCCAUUAUUCAGAGACAUUAGACUCACAACACUUCCAUUAUAAGCAUAGUAUGAAUAAGGCAAAAUGAAGCAGGUUGCCAAGAUGUCGCAAAAAAAAAGAAGCAAAUUACAAGUUUGCUUGUCAUGAGUUGCUGCUGCUGUUGUUUUUUCUUGAUUUUAGUCCCUCAACCGGCUAACUCGUGAUCAUUCAUCUCUUGCUUUCUUUACCAGAUCAACCAUGCAACUGAUUUCUUUAGCGGACCAGGCAAUAUAUGUAAUAAGCAAAAUUCUACAGUUUAGAUCAGAGAUUCAGAGGACUAUUGCAGGCUCUCAUAUAUCAUCAUUAGGGCAUGACGACCAGACAAGGAAGUUGCUGUGUAUAUUAUUAUUCCUAGAAGAAAAACAUUUAAGUACUGUUCAAGGAGGCGACCAACUAUAGCCCAGUGCCCACCCCAUCAAUCGAUUAGUGUCUUUCAGAACACUUCAUUUCAACAAUGUGUCUAUAAAUGGCCACACUUACUAUACUCAAACCUCAAACCUUAAAAGUGAAUAAAGAUGCACAUAUCACAUGAGAUUCUAUCAAGCUAAUGACUGAAAAGCAACACAAUGAAAAUAUAAAAAACUAUAGAAUUGAAGGACCAAAACCAAUGAAACUGCAUGAGUGUUAGUGGGACCAAGCACCACCAUUUCGAAAAGUUCUAAGGUCUAAAGUCUCAGCAAUAAAUGCUAUUUAAACCUACAUGACAUUAAAAAAACGGAUGUGAUAAAACAAAUAAAUAUUCACGAACAUGAUCAAUCAUUCAGAGCGGGAUUCUAAAAUUGAUCACUGAAAUUGUUCGGCCACCCAGCUAUUAGUGAUUAUACAGCCGAGCUAGCUCAUUGCAGUGGGUGGCAUAACCAGCGGUUACAAGUUCUUUUCUCUCAUAUUUGCCUCUCCAUUUUUCAUUUUUUUAUUUCCAAAUAGAUCUACAAUGUUAUUUGAAUUUUAAAAAUAAUAGGUAGGGCACUCCUUACAUACAUGACCUCCUAGGCCAUUUAAAACAAAUAUGCAUUGUUUGGGGUUUUUUAUAUAACAUAAAGUAAGUUAACUAUGACACACUGCCAAAAUAUUUUUGCAUAAAAAACAUUAAAUUUGAUAUAGCACAGAAAGAACGUGGAUAUCCAGCAAGAGAUUAAAGAAGGCAAAGUGGGGCAGGCAGUCAGCAAAACAAAACUAGUGGAUCACGAGUUUCAAACUUUUACUAGCUUUAAGCAACUGAAAUAACUUGCCACUGAACCUAGUGAGCCAACAACUCUAACGUGUAAUAGCAAACAAGUAAUAAUUCUUUUGAAGCUCCAGAAUAAUCAAAACUGAGUCUAGAAUCAAGCUAGAAUGCCCAUUUGAGUUCACUGGUGAUGUUAGAGUGAUACUUAGUUCAAGGAGUAUAUCCAGAUACCCCAAUCAAAAAAAUCAUCUGAAGCCAUGCGAACAAACUGAUGGCACUUCUAGAAUAGUGUCUUUCCACAAAAUUAGUUAGAUAAGCCUAUGUAAUCCCAAAAUUUAUAAAAUGCUCCCGUUCCAUCCAAGAUGAACGUAAACAUUCCUGCACAACGAUUGGCAACAAUCCUCAACCCAACAGCCUUCAUCACCAUCCUAUGAUGCUAUCUAACACUCAAUAGUUCUAGCAAAACCAAAAUCAGAUGGUCUGUUUUGCUCAAUGAAUUACUUAUUAUCAUUACCAACCCGUGUGGCAGGUUGAUAUGGCAUAGACUAAAUAGUAUGAUUCAUAAACAGGCUUAAAAUAAUGCAAUACUGAGUUCUUUACCAAAUCAAGCAUUGGCAUUUCAUGUUCCCUGGGUUUCCAUUCGUUCCAAAAACAAACAACUGUCUUGCUAGAGAAAAUCAUGCUCAGAAUUCAUAUAGUUGUGCUUCAUUUAUGCAAGAAUCAAGACGAUUCAUGAGUUUAGCAAGUAGUUAAGCAUCUAGCAAACUGAUUGAUACUUAAAGCCCCCAUUUUCUUUUUUUCUUUUUUGUCAAAAUUCACUUGUAGCAACGCACAAGCGGAACUAAGCAUUCGAAAGUGUAUAUCCUAUUGAACCAAAAGUUGCAAUCACGAGCUGCUCACUCACCAUCUGUAUCGCAUGAAGUGGCCAUCAACAGGCGCGGCCUCAGGCACGUCGUCGGUGGAGAUUACACCGUUGGGCAGCCGCAGCAGCACGUACGGGGUGAUUUCGCACCCCACGAUCGGGAUCUCCGACGGCAGGUGCACCCGCACCACGCUCAGCAUCCUCCACUCCUGCUCCCCUCCCCUGCUCUCCUCUGCCCAGCCCAGGGGCGGAUCUAGAUGGUGUGCCGGGUGGGCACCGGCACACCCAAAAUUUGUGGACGCUGCGAGGACGGCGGAAGGCCAGGGCGACGUCGGGAGAGGAGGGGAGCGCCGCCGUCAAGGGGACCGGGAGAGCGAGACAGGGUUAGGGUUGGUUGCCUGAGGGUAUUUUUGGGCAUUUCGAAAAUCUAGAGUUGUGUCCAGCGCAUUUUUUUUCUAAACUAGUAUUGCGUAAGCGGGACGGAGUGGUAAUGUUUGUGCAAGACAAGAGAGAGCCGGAGAGGAUGACAUGUUUUUUUUAACGAUAAUAUUAAAAACUAGUCAAAUGUCCAUGGGACAAACUCAUAUGCGAUACUCACCGCAUUUGUAGUUAUAGAUUAAUACCUUUUCAUAGCAGUUUGCAGAGAUGGAACCAUGAAAGGCGUUGCAGACGUAUAAUUCACUCGCUAAAAAAUCCAUAUUGAGAAAAUAAUUAUGUACUUGAUAGACUCGGUCUCACGAAGUUCUGGUAAGAAGCCGGUUCGGAGGGACAAAGUUCCAGAAAGAUGGCCGCAAUGUCACGCACGACCAGGCGAAUUUGUGAUAGUUUUUUUGUUAUGAAAAAGCAAAGUAUAUGUGAUCGGCAUGCGACCUUGUGGAUUGGGGUUGAAAGUGUUGGACUGCAGUGUAUACCUUCAACCCACCACGUCUUGAUUUAAAGGCCAAAUCAACGUAGGAUUCGGACUCCUUAACUAAAUACGAUUAGGAUUCCCUAUCUAUGUCGGAUUUGGUCUCCUAUUCUGUGAUUGGCAAUUGGGAAUUUAGACAUUAAUCCAUAGCUUCUCCAACUCUUUAGUGAUUGAACGUAACGGUUGGUACAAGCUAGGCUGGGCGCGAUGGGCUGAGGCUGAGGCAAACCAACCAUGGACCUCGUACCGUUUAGAUUGAAAAAAGGACAUGUUUUUUUUUGUUUAUCGAUCAGGACGGACAGGCGCACGCACGAGGGUGAGUUGGAGGUUCAGAUCGGUUGGGCUUAGUGGAAGUUUUAAUGAAAAAGGCCUACGGACGUUCGCCAUCACCACCGAUUGUAAUAUAAUAGACAUUGUAGAUUAGUUAUGAUUUGGACCACCGGGCACCGGAACCCAAGCUGCUCAAUUUUGGCAAAAUUUGCAGAAAGCAAACUCAAACCCGAUGGCUCCUAUGUAGAUGGGAGUGAACUCAGAGUAUUCUCAUCGUGUUGCUACAAAGCUUUUCUUUGAUGAUGUUCCCUCCGUUGUGUUUCCCUUGCGUGCUCAAGGACACAAUGUUGUGAUUGAGGAAAUUGUUGAUGACCCUAGCUCUGCCAUCUUCCGUCCGUAAGUGAGGGCACAAGCAGCGCGUUGCUACUCCAGAAGUAACUUCAGGUCUGUGCCAUAGUUCAUGCUCUACCAUGUUUAGAGGAUUCAAGUCCUAGCUUGUUUCUGAUGUGCAGAAGAAACAGUCCAAGUGUCGAUGUUAUACAUUGUCAGAAUAUGAUUCGGGAUAGCACACGACCAAGGAUUACUACUACUCUUGAUGGCAACAGUCUACGUGUUUAUCAUUUGUUGGAACUCCAAGCACAAAGUGAUGUAACAAAGGGUGUUUUCCCCCACAAGUGUUUUACCCCCAACAAGCACCACAAUGGUUGUCAAUCACAAUGAUCACUAUACAGAAUCACUUAUUUCUGACGCGUUAAAAAACUUCUAGUCUGACGCAAAUGGGACGUGUCACUAAUCAAGUGUCAAAGAUGACUCGGGAACUUCUGACGUGUCAACAAGCGUCAGAAGUAGGAAACCCUAAUGACGCUUCUUGUCGAUUGUUAUUAGAGACAAGUAUCCUCAUGUCGGGUGAAGGCCAUGUUUGUUUGAGCUUCUGCUUCAGCUUUUGGUGGUUCUAGCUCUCUAAAAAGCACUGCUUCCGUUUACACAUGAAGCUGAGAAGCACGUCGUGAGGUGCUUCCCUCCAGAAGCUGCAGGAAGCACCUCCAGACGUGCUUCUCAGCUUCAUGUGUAAACGGGAGAAAUGCUUUUUAGAGGGCUAGAAGCAGCAAAAGCUGAAGAAAAAGAAAAAGCCCAAACAAACAGGGCCGAAGAUGAGUAAGAAGAUAGAGGGGCCUCACGGUGAUAUCUACUCGUGUAAGAUAGAGAACUCGGCGAAAGACAAGGGUUUAUACCGGUUUGACUUGCUCCUUUUCGUGAAAGCAAGCCUACGUCAUGUUGGUAAUCUAAUAUUUGUGUAUGAUAUUACAAGGUGUGUUCUGCCCAUCGAGGGCGCCUAGCCCGCUUUAUAUAGUCAAACAACUAGGGUUUCGGGUAGAGCCGGGUACAACUUUUACAUGGACUGUACCUUCCUAAACUAGUUAGGAUUCUUCCUUUACAAGAUAUCUACAACUAGUAUUUCCUAUUACCUGAACUAGGCUUCCUUCUUCAAUACGACAACUUCCUUGACCGAGUGAUAGGGGAUGUCUGGCUUGUGCGCUGAGUCGACUUUCUCUGUUCAGUCGUCUCUCAGCUACCCGGCUAGAAUAUCCUCGUCAUUAGCCCCGAGUACAAUGUGGAUAGGGGGGAGCUGAAUAAUGCCAUCGUCGUCAAUCUCGAAUCUUUCUCGUUUCAUGUGCUUUUCUUGAGUUGCUUCUUCUUGAUUUUAUUCCGACCUCAAAUCCACAAUGUACUUCUCUAUGACAGCUUGAGGUUCGAGCUCAUGGCUUCUUAUGCAUAAAGUUCAGCUAUAAGAGCAAACCAGCUUCUAUGUGGCAUGUGUUAGCAUUGCAGCGAUAUUAGCUCCUGUUUUGAUUUGUGUUUUUUCCUUAGCUGUAGCGUUGCUUUGAAUUAAUUAGCAACUACGUCGUGCAUGUAAAAAAAAGUGAGUUCCAACAAAUCUCUGACGUGCGCUAGAACAAGAGGUCAGUGAGCAUCAAAAGUAUACUGACGUGGCGACACAAGGAAGAGCUAGGAAAUUCCUCGUGAACAAAGUUGACGCUUCCACAAAGGAAAGAGUCACAUCAGCUAGAAUCUCCUUCGACGCUUACGAAGUAAGGAAGCGUCAGUAGAAAUGAAGAGUCAGAAGUGUGGAAGUUCUCCUACGCUUCUCCGAGGUAGGUGUCAGAAAUAUCUUAUUGACGCUGCCUCGUGGAUGCUACCUAUGACAGUCCUUAUAAGGAGCCGCAGAGAUAAGGAUUUGCGCUGACGCUUUUUAGUUUUGUGUCAGUGGGGAGCUUGCAAGAGUAAAGUCUAUAGUAGUGAGUGUAAGGCUAAACUUUAAAUAAACAAAUAAUAACUUUAAGUAAACUAAUGCAAAACAAUAAUUUAAACUAACUAGAAGAUGCAAUAACUAUAUAAUAAAUACUACUACUUAUUAUGCAACUAAAUAACCAAGAGAGAAUGUUUAAAUGGCUUUUUACAAGAUAUCUAAAAAAAAGCAAUUAAAUAAAUGCAAAAUAAUUGUAACAGAGGUGUUUCUUAUGAUAUUAAAGAGGACCAGGAUACUCUUUGCGGCAUGAAUAUAGCACAUAGGACAAGUUCAUUUACUUUGCAAUGUUUUUAUGAAGUGAAUGAUAAGCAUUCAUAUGGACAUCACGUCCUAAUAUUGAGAAUAUGCAAAAUAUCUCACUAAUGCUCCCUUGGUAAGUGACUCAUCAAACUAGAUUAUUGCUUUAGGUACUUUGACAUGAUGUUGAACUUUAAUGCAACUUUGAGCAAGCAAGACCACCAUUGUUGUCAUUUGGUAGCAUAAUGCGUAUUCAUUUAUCCCUAGCGGGUCAAAUCACUGAAAGGUGAAAAUCAUAGUGGUUCCCAAAAUUUUUGUCACUAUCCGGUUGCCACUACCAAUUGCUCUAUCUAAUACACACAUCCCCACACAUGCACAUGUAAACUAGUAUGAUUAGUACAAGUAAGCAAGAAGGGAUAGACAUAUGCAUCUAUCAAUACAUCAAAACACAAUCCAAACAUUGCAAACUCAUGACUCAUCUCAUAACAAAAGGUUCACCAAUAAAAAAUAUAACGAUGAUCAUAAUCAUGAUAGGAAACUCGUAUGAUUCUAUUACAACCCAUAGCCCAGCGAGGACUACUCCCUCAUCAUAUUGGUGAUGAUAGAGAAUAUGUUCAAGGAGAAGGAGAGGCGACCGAUGGUAUUUUCCCUUCUAAUCUUGGAUCAAUCUGAUGUUGUUUUUUUUCUUUCCGAGUCGUUGUGCUAUGCAAGCGCAAAGCACGGGGUAUUAAUAAAUGGUUUUAGGUCAAGACGAAUCUUCGGGUGAAAGAAUGCACUUGCGGGCGGCCACUCGGGAUAAAAAACAACCAUGGUGAAUUAUGAUAAUCUAGUUUUUUCGACUACUACCUCUGAUCCUAAAUUGUUGUCGUGGUUUUACUUCAAAUUUGUACUAAAACCACGACAAGAAUUAAGGAUCCGAGAGGUAGUUUUUACCUAUUUUUCAAUUCGGCUUACCUAUUAUUUUCUAAUUUUCUUUGUAUGUUUUGACAAAUUCAGCACACUUCAGCAACCCAAACUGAACAUUAGUCCCGUACAGGAUUCCAGAGUGCGUUGUACGCAUGUGUUAGUAUAUUCCUAAGCAAGCAAGAAAAAAAUAAAAAGAAGCAAAUAGUAGCAACUAUCGGUUGAUCCCGGCCCUGGGCCAGGACAAGAAGGGCGACAGCCCGGGCCCGCCCAAUCCAGGGGACCAGAUCAUAUGUGUAUACGCUAGUAGAGAUACAUGUCCAAAUAUUGAUUAGCAUAAAAGAAAGAGGAAAAAAGCUAGAGGCCCAGCAGAUUGCUCCGCUCCUGGCCAACCCAGGACGUAUCAACGUGCUCGAAAAUUCCCCUUGGCACCCGGUAUCCAGGCCUAUGUGUAUCUCAGCCGACCAAUUUUCCAUCCUACGGCUCCAUCCUGCAGCUCCUGUCGUCCGGCCCGUUUAAGUAUACAAUUUGCUAUUCUCCCGUACAGGCGGUAUUUGCACCGGUUGGCCUGACACAUCCUUUUUUAUAUUGCGUUUCCCAGGCUGGCUGGCCCAAGUCCCACCUCGCGCAUUGCUGGGUGAGCACAAGUCCUUUUCUCCCGCUGCAUACCGUGGCACAGGUCUGCCCUUGAGACAUCGCAUUAAAUUUCCAUCAGUCCCAUUUUUUUGGCCCAAGAUUUCUGGGCAGGCACAGGUCCACGCCAUUGGGGGGGCGGUGGCGCGGCUGGCGAGGCCGACGUCGCGGCUGUCGAGGGUGCCUGCCACGGGCGAUGAGUCACCGAGUCAGGCUUCGGUGCCCAGAGCUGAAAAGCGUGCCGCGGUAGACGAUGUUGGGCGCCUUAAUGCCGUGCUCGGACACGAUUCGGUCGGGGACGAAGCUGUCAGUUCCCGCGCAUAGCUCAUCAAGGCUGUACUCUGUGAUCAUCGGCACAGCACUGUCGUCUUCCCCAGUUUCCCCAUUCUCUAUUUCUCUACACAGGGAAAGCAAACAGCAAGGGGAAGAGCAUCCAUCCUGUAAAGCAACGAGCUGCCGGCGAUGGCCUUCUCCACGACCGCGGAGCAACGCAGCGCCGUCCCCGUGCCUUCGCUGGAUGCCCGCUCGCAGCUCCGUGAUGGACCGCUUCCGCACGAGCACCGCCCGCCCGAACGGGUCGUGCGCGUCGGCAAGCGCGAGGGCCGAGGGACACGUUGAGGUGGCCAAAGGCCGGGUCGCUAGGGAAGAACUCCGAGCUGCAGACCGGGGGCGCGGGGCAGGGACGGAUGUUCGGGCAUCGGCCGGACCUCCUCCGUUGGCAGCUUCCGCAGGCGAGGAAAACUUGAGGGGCAACGGCAGAUAUUUGGGAUUUGACGUGGGUAUUGGUGCUCCGAUCUUUCCAUCAGAUUGAUAACUCUCGAUUUGGGUUGAAGAUGACGUUUGACGAUCCGACUACGGUCUAAAAGACAGCGCCUUAGUAAUCAAUACACCAACUACAGAGAGUUAUUGAUCACGCGGGGCACGAUCAACCUGACCACGAAGGUUUUUAUUCCUGCAAGCAAUCGAAAAACAAGCAAGACCAAGAUAAAUAGUGGAUGCAAUCUGAAAUUGCGAAUAUACUAUAUCAAACCAAUGUCUCAAUGAGACGAUAAGUUGGGAUUUCGAAAGUGGUAAAGCAGGUGGUCUAGCCGACAUAGACGAUUACACGAAGUUGUAGCGAUGGCUAACUUUUAACUAAACAAAACCCAAGUCUCCAUAGGGAGGCUAGUGGGGUAUAUAAAAGAGGAGGGAGAGAGAUUUUCGCCCACCUUGAGUAAGGAGGCCGAAAUCCAAAUCUAUUUCUAACUUUUCUAACAAACUAUAACUCUUUAGGAAACAAAAAAACAGAUCCGUCAUCUUGUUUUGUCUGCCACGGCCAGCACGCGUCGAAUCUCCUUGUGGGGUCAAAUCUGUUGGAAAGGUCUUGUAAUUACCUUUCCAACAAGUACUUGUUUGCUUGAUUUGGACUCUGAAUGCGGUCUGGGUGAUUAAAACAAAUUCGGAUCUCCUGACAGCUCGGACCCGAAUCGGAUUCAACUUUAAUUCGUGAUAUCUUUCACUAGCAAGCUCCGAACCAUGUGCCGUUCGAUUUGUUGGAAAGUAGACUUGAUAGGCUUCACCUUGCAUCUCCCGUUGCAUGCUAUCGCACCUCAUCUUCACUUUGGAUUUGAAAAGCUCGACCAAAUAUCUACAUAAUAAAAUGAUACAAGAUAGUAGCUCUGCCUCUUCAUGCAUAUGGCAUUGAAAACAAAUAGUACUUGACUUCACCUGAUUAUAAAAUGUUAUCGAAUACUCUAGAACUGAGGGUGCCAAAGGUUGUAUCUAUGGUUAGCAUGUCCAUAUCAUCUUCCCUUUCUUGAAACAAAAGCCGUCCUCGGUGUCGUUUGUGCUGAAAAGAGACUGACAAAACAGACAAAGUGUGUGCAUGGGUAUAUGUACAUGUCAUCCAUCUUUAUACAUCUCCUUUCUUGCACAAUUAAUGUUUUAUAAAAAAAUCUCAUGAGAUAAGUAGUCAAACAAUCAUCAUGAAUUACAUUCCAGCAAGAAGAUUGACAAUAUGUUUUGCAUAUAUAAGUGAAACAAUAUCUUAUACUAGUAAAAAGCCCGUGCUUUGCUACGGAAGAAGACUUUCUUUUAAAAACAUGCUAUAGGUUAAUUUUCAAAUAGUCGGCUGACUUGGGCUUGCGGGGCUGCGGCUUGGGCUGAAAGGUGGAGAUGGGGUUGGUGGGCCUGAAGGGGGCUCGGGGUUGCUGGGUUGCUGUGGGAUCGAGGCAGCGGGGAGGUUGAAGGCACGGGAGCAAGGGGAGGCAGUGCCGGCGAGGUGGACGAUGGGAGCAGCACGCGAGGGUGCUGGGCUGCCACGGUGACUGGAGCUUGGCGACAACGUUGGCGGAUUGCAGCAGCGAGGGAGAGGAGAAGAGGGCGCAACGAGUAAUGAAGGCAGGAGCGCCAGAGAGAGGAGGCGGCUAGACAGAGGAGAUCGGGAGGGAGAAAGGAGCUCGAGGGGAAAGAUGAAGGAGCAUAGGGGAUAUCGGGGAGGACCGGCUGCCUGGUUGGGUGGACGGGCAGGACAAGAAAAGGGGACGAGAGCGAGAGGGAUAGGGUUCGAGGAAGCCCGCAGAGGUUAGGGCUCGGGGGUCAGACGGAUGUUUUUCGGGACUGGGGAUAUGCAGUGGCAUAUUGAGCGUAAUUUUAAUGGAGUGACGUACCGCGACACCUGUACCAUCACCACCAACUCCAAUUUAAUAUAUUUGUAUAGAUUUAGUUUGCACCGCUCACCAUUAUACCAUCCCAACACUGGAGAAUAAUAAUUAAUGGUACCCAAAUUAGUUACUACAAGAUGCUGAAAUUUAGAGCAAGUCAAAGCAGUAAUAUUCAAACAAUCGUGUAAACAACUAUUUGGCAAAUAAUCAACACCAAUAUUGGAGAUCAUAUCAAAAUAGUUAAGCAUAUGCAAGAAUUUAUUUUCUCCCAAGAUAGUAAAAUUAUCACAAGUAAUACAAAUUUCAUGUACCAAAAAGUUAUUAUUCACAUCAUGUUCUCCAAUUAGUUGAAUAGUGGAUCCAUGAACAUUAGGAAAAGAUUUUGAAAUUGUUAACUUGGACACUUUUUCCAUUGCAUAUGAUAAAUACAUAUGUGUAUCAAGUGUAAUAUAACACAAAGAAUUAAUAGGUGGAUCCUUAUGAAUCACUCCAUGUCUAAUUAACUCGACACAACCUAAGCCAAAUUUAUCUAUCUCACAUGUUUCUCCCAAAGCAUUAGUUCUGUCCUGACAUGAUUCAUGCUCAUCAAUAUCAAAAUUAAUAUGUGCACUAAAAUCAUUAGAAAAAUUAAUUUCAGCACUAGGUGUACUCAAAUCAGCAUGUAAAUCAACAAUUUCACAUGGUGCAGAAAAUUCACCGAGUAUCUCAUUUAUUUCAUCACAUGUCAUAUUUAGUUCAGGAACACAAUCAUCUUUACCAUUACCUUGUGGUCUCGACUCAUUUGUAGUAGACCUUCACUGUAAUUUCCUCUCAACUUCACGAGCAAGAUUAAGCAAACACAAAAAAGAGUCGUAUUUUCCAUAUUCAAUUAUGUAAGAAAUAUCAAAGUUAAGCCCACAAUAAAACCUAUCCAUUUUUGUUUGUUCGGUUUCAUCUAAACCAGAUCGCAAGGUUAGAAUUUGGAACUCCUGAUAGUAAUCAUCAACAGUUUUAUCAUCUUGUUUCAAACGUCGUACUUUUGCACGCAAGUUACAAGCAUAACUAAAAGGGACAUAUUUUUCUCUCAUGAUUUUCUUCAUAUCAACCCAAGUGUGAGGAAUUUUCUUUUCUCUAACUAUCUCACUCCACCAAGAUAAAGCAGCAAAAGUAAAUUUACUACUAGCAAUUUGGAACUUGCGACUAUCAAGUACAUGGAAGCAUGUGAAUUGUUCAGUUAAAGCUAUCUCCCAAUCUAUAUACGUUUCAGCAUCAUUUUCCCCCUUAAAGAAAGGUACACACAAUUUAAUUGUAUUGGAAGGAUUGUUUCGUACCGUUGCCGUCGCAUUGUCAACAAAAGACGUGGAGGAUGGCCAUGGUGAAAAGCACUCAUCGCGGUCACGGGAUUGCAUCGGUCUAGUUCCCAUGCUUCGUGUAAGUCCUGUCAUUGUUAGUAGAAAACAAGAAACAAAUCACAGUAAUAUGUUCCUAUCAACUAAUAGGAUGUGGCUACAAGUCGUUCAACUCUCAAGCUAAAAAUCAAGUUCUUACAAGUUCUUACCAUGCAACAAGAAGGUGAUGGCCAGCGGCUUGACCAAGCCCCUCCGAGGAUUAAAUGUAUCAAUGCCUCGGUAACAAACCAACCUAGGUGUAGAAUCUGUGUAGCUUGGAAGCUUUUGUGAGUAGCAAGGAAUAGCAAAUAAUCAAACAGCAAUGCAAAGUUGAAAAUAUGCUAAAUAAUGCUAGUCCUAACUGCUGGAGUCGAUAAUAACGAAUUACAGAAAUAAUCUAAGCCUAGAUAGUGAAGAAGGUAGGAUAGAAAGAUCAAAAUAAAGGUAAAACAACUAAAUCUCUAGGAUUUUUCUUUUCUUUUAUUUAUUUAUUUAUUUAUUUUUGUGGCCUUCUGUUUGGCUUCUUAUUCUUUUCUUCUUUUUUUAUUUUUUUAAUCCCAGAAACUCAUGCAAAAGAAGUAAAGACCGGAAAACUGCACGUCGGUCUGUCGAAGAACAGCAAAGGGUGCUGUAAGAAAAUGUCAGAAAAAUAUGGAAAAAUAUAGGUUAGGAGCGUAUCGAAACAAGCUUUCCAGGAAGUGCAAGAUCACUCAAAUCGGAGGCCGGACGAUGGAGAUAACGUAAAAACACCGGCCUGCAGCGAUGCCGGAAACCGGAUGCAGAAACUUGGAAGCUCUGAAAGUCCACCUUACAAACCGAGUUUGAGGGUCAAGGAGUCAGUGCGAUGCCCUGGAUAUUUUCUCGUGCGCUUCGUCAUGAGCUUUCCAGAAAGUACUAGAAGGUCCAAAUCUGAGUUGGUGACCGUUUUACUGAACACGGGUCAAACCCACUCGAAACUAUAAUUCUCCUGAACGUGGAUCUGAAACUGAUUCUUUUUCUCUCUCUUUUUUUUCAUUUUUUUUCCUUUUUUUUCCUUCCUUUUCUUUGCUUUUUUUUCACAACUUUCCGAACAACUUGAUCUCUAAACAAAAUUCGAUCUAUUAUGAAACACUUUCCAAAAGCACUCUCGAUUGGACUCGGACUCGAACCCGGAGAAGGACUCGGUGUAUGACUCGAUGGAAGAUUAUGGCGUGGCGGUGGUGUGGCAGGGAGUUUGGCGGCAGAAAAUUGAGGAAGGAAACCUGCGUCACACGAAGAACAAGAAAACCAAAAGCAAGUUCGAUCUAGUAGAAAAAGUCUGAAAAACGAUCCAAUCUAAUCCAGCAACUCGACACGAUUAAUGCAGCAAAGGUUCAACAAUGCAAAUACUAAUGUGAAAAUUGCAAGGCUCAGAUUGGUUUUUGGGACGAAGGUAAGUAAUCUCUACUUUUUUAUUGUCUUUUUCUGGACUAUAGGUAAAACAUAUCUAAACUAUGGAAAAAUACCACGUGAUGUGGGUCGGGGUGGCCCGAUAUUUCGAUGAGAUUGAUAACUCUCGAUUUGGGUAGGAGGUGACGUUGACGAUCCGACUACGGCCUUGAAAGCAGCGUCUUAGCAAUCGAUACACCAACUCCAGAGGGUUAUUGAUCACGCGGGGGCACGAUCAACCUGACCACAAAGGUCUUUGUUCCUACAAGCAAACGAAGAACAAGCAAGAACAAGAUAAAUAUCGGAUGCAAUCUGAAAUUGCGAAUAUACUAUAUCAAACCAAUGUCUCAACGAGACGAUAAGUUGGGGUUCCGAAAGCGGUAAAGCAGGUGGUCUAGCCGACACACGCGAUUACACGAAGUUGUAGCGAUGGCUAACUUUUAACUAAACAAACCCAAGUCUUCAUAGGGGGGCUAGUGGGGUAUAUAAAGGAGGAGGGAGAGAGAUUUUCGUCCACCUUGAGUAAGGAGGCCGAAAUCCAACUGUAUCUCUAACUUUCCUAACAAACUACAACUCUUUAGGAAACGGAAAAACAGAUCCGUCAGCUUGUUUUGUCCGCCACGGCCAGCACGCGUCGAAUCUCUUGUGGGGCCAGAUCUUUUGGAAAGUUCUUGUAAUUACCUUUCCAACAAGUACUUGUUUGCUUGAUUUGAACUCCGAAUGCGGCCUGGGUUAUUAAAACAAAUUCGGGUCUCCUGACAGCUCGGACCCGAAUCGGAUUCAACUUUAAUUCGUGAUAUCUUUCUCUAGCAAGGUCCGAAUCAUGUGCUGUUCGAUUUGUUGGAAAGUAGACUUGAUAGGCUUCACCUUGCAUCUCCCGUUGCAUGCUAUCGCACCUCAUCUUCACUUUGGACUGGAAAAGCUCGAUCAAAUACUUACAUAAUAAAAUGAUACAAGAUAGUAGCUUUGCCUCUUCAUGCAUAUGACAUUGGAAACAAAUAGUACUUGACUUCACCUGAUUAUAAAUAUUAUCGAAUACUCUAGAAUUGAGGGUGCCAAAGGUCGUAUCCAUGGUUAGCAUGUACAUACCAGGCUUGCAGUACGAUGCCCGGAGCUGGGGGAGAUGGCGCUGCACAUGUCGUAUCUGAAGGAGGCGGCGAUUGAGGUGAAGAAGACGGUGGGGGAUGAGACGGUGACAGAUGGGGAAGAGAGGUAGAUGAGGGCGAUGAAGGGAAUAUGCCCUAGAGGCAAUAAUAUUGUAUUAUUAUAUUCCCAAGUUUGUAAUUGAUGUUUAUAUUUCUAUGCUAUAAUUGCAAUGGUUCUUGAACGUGAGAUUCGGAGGAAAACUCAUUUGCAUGUGUGGAAACAUAAACCCUAAUUUAAAGGUCCCUAGUCACGCCUCUUUGACUAGCUUAUAUAUAAUUGAUGAUUCUGUUUUCCUGAUCAUGAGCAUACGAUGCUGGUUAUAUAUGAGAGCACAUUGUUGGUUGAACAAUGGUGUUGGAUUGACCCAACUAAUGAUAUACCGAGAGAUCACAUCGAUUACUUGUUAUCGGUAUUAUUGUUAUUGUUGUAAUUAUCAUUAUCCUUAGACCAUGAAAAUAUCGUAUGAUAUUUAUAUCGGAAGGAUAAUUUGGGUGUUACUUAUUGUUUCCCGUAAUAGGGUUAUCAUGACGGUGAUUUCCGGGUACUCCGGAAAGUACGAAUUGAUUCGAUAGUUCAAGAUUGGGAUUUGCUCCUCUAUCGGUGGAGAGAUACACUAGGGCCCACUCGGUACGAAGAUAUCUAUCACCGUCUGGCCAGACACAAGAAUGAUAUGAUCAUUGAGAUAUCGGAGUACGGAAUGAGUUAAAAGUACAAAACCGGUAACGGGGAUAGCUAGGUACAAGUGGAACAAGGGUUGGUUCACGGGCGUACCGGAAGUCUCACCCCGGGUUUUGUAAACGUAUCGUGAAGCAAAGGGAAAUGGUUUUUAGUAACAAAUGGUUCACUUGAAAGUCUUCGUGUAUGUGUAGUAAUUAUUGAGAGUGUCCAGGCUCUUUAAAUAAUUAUUGACUGGGUCAUAGCUACACAUUUCCCAACCUAGGCGGUCAGACGCUUAACGACGAAUGGUUAUUUGAAGGUCUAAAGUUUGGAAUUUGGUCAAGAGUUGAAUACUGAAGUUGUUCAGAAUGACGAGACAUAUUUUAUGGAGGUCCUAAAUGUGAUUUAGGAGUUACAGAAAUAUUCGGAGUAAUCAUGAGUGCUUCCGGAAGGUUUUAGAAGCCUCUAGAAGGAUCCGAUGGAAAUUCCGGAAGGUCAAAUGGCAAAAGGUCAAAAGUCAAAGGUGGGUCAAACCCUGGUCAAAGGUUGACCAUGGGGGCCAGCCAUCUUGGUUUGGAGAAGGGGUUAUAAGACUCCUAUUAGGAGUUCAUAUCUAUUCCUAUUAGAGGUAGGCGUGCUACUCUUUUUGGAGGAGGACUCUUUUCGUCCUUUGGCCGGACGCCCUCCUAUAUAAGGAGGGGAGGGGUGGCCGGUUAUAGGGGCACUCUCGCUAGUUGUCCUUUGCCCGUCAAGUUCGAGCUCUCUCAUCUAAAGUUUAGACGUCUAAUUAGUAAAUCGUCUACUUUCCGAUCUAGUUUCUUCCAGCGGUUCUUCGUACUGGACGUGAAAGUGCUGCUGAACUAUUCCUCCGGGACGUGUGGAUACGUGUGGAGAGAUCGCCCACUUCGAUCUUGCAGGCGGAUCGCUGUUCGUCUACUUCAAGCUUUCAGGCGCAGCAGAUCGUGCGAGGAAUAUUCUCACGGCUGGGCGGUAUAACCUAACUGCGGGAAUCUGCUACAGGCUUCAACGACAAUCUAUUUCCGCUAUGGUUUUUUGGUAGAUGAUCAAUCUAUCGCAUCCGCAUAGUGAUCUUGAUUGGUUCGUUCGUAGGAAAAUUUUAAUUUUCUGCCUACGUUCCCUUUCAGGCGAAUGGAGGCGGUGGAGGGACCCGAGACGUGGGGUGGGCGGCCUGCUGUGCGUAUUUUAUUUAUUUUCUUUACUACUACUACUACUUAAGCCACAGUUAUGUCCGUGGUUUACCGUAAGUCCUCCCACCCCCCACAGAAAAAAAAGUCCUGAAAAAAUCCGGUCCCCCCACCCCUUCUGAGGAAACAUUCGCCCAGAAGGAAAUAUUCAAUCAACCAUCAAUUGAUUGAGUUCAAAAGAUGACCCAACGCAUUAGGCAACUCUUGGAGAGAUUUCAGGAGAGUAUGGAAAGAUUGUUAGGAGUUGGCCGAGUUGUGGGAGUGAUUUCAGGAAAGGACAUCUUGGUUAGUUGCACGUAUAGCGUGAGUUUAGGGGCUAACGGUCUGAGAUUGGCUGUUAUUUAUGGCAUGCUUUGUAAUCUUGUUUUUGGAAACAGAAAGAGGAAUAGGAAAGGAGAAAAUCUCGGGCUGUGAGAGGCAGCCUCGAGGCCCAAACCUUGCCUUCCUUAUGUUCGUGGUGUUGCCAAGAAAAGAGAUAUCGUGAGAGAGGGAGCUGCAGCGACAGAGAAGAAGAACUGGAGUUGCAGAUUCCUGCCGCGGCAGGAAAUAUUCUGCCGCGGAAGAAAAUCUGCAGGCUGGAGCUGCGUGAGGUAGACGGGGAAGAAGAAGGGGAGCAGCAGCGGCUAGCUGCUCCAACAUAGCCUUAUCAGUUGCCGGGUAUUAACUGGACAAUUCCUAAUCAUGCUUCAUGAAACGGUGCUAAAACAUUGUCCUGUGUCGCAAGUCCCAACAAUCCUAAUGGAUUUCAUUCUGCCGAGUCAUUAAAGGUCUGUGCUUGUUACUCCUAAUUCUGAUCAUAGUUAUUGUAACGUGCUUCUAUCUAGAAGCCGAUGUACACCUAUCAUGUUUGUCAGUUAUAACUUUGUAUGCUUUAAGAAGAUCUAUUUUGUACUUUGGGCUAGGUAUUUUCUACUUCGUAUGCUUCAAGGAAGGUAACUGACUGAGAUGAGAUGCAUAGUUGUUGCCAGAGAGAAGGGACGUUAGCACGUGGCAAACGUGGUUAGCAAUAAAAAUGCAAUCAGAGAGAAGGGAAGUUGGAGAAUGAAACAAAUAUUUAUUGUGAUAGGUUAAAAGUUAUACACAAUUAGUGUACAUAUUUAUUUUUAUUUAUUUAUUAUUUUUCGUUGCAACGCACGGGUACUUUGGCUAGUAUAUUUAUUUGGAGAACAUCCGUAUUUUAUUUGGUGGGCGAUGGAACAAGACAGACAUGUACCAUGCCUUCUUGGUUUUGAGUUGGUCCAGAAACAUCUCACAAAUGGUCCAACAACCCAACACAAAUGACCUAGUAUUACUCACUGUUCUAUACCAAUAGUGGGCCAAAAAGCGGAAAUUCCAUUUGGGUCCUGGGACCCCCUCCCUAUCUCCAUCAUUCCGCCGAUGUUUGAUGUUUGCUUUUAGACCCUGUUUGUUUGGGCCCUGAUGGUCGCCCUUUGCGUAUUUGUGAAAUCAUAGGUGAUGUGUAACAUUGGUAAGUAUUUUAGAUGAAACAUUGAUGUGGAUACUUUGGCUAAUAUGGAUUGACGAAGAUGUAACUUCGACAAUGUCCAUAUUGAUGGACUUGUAUCAAGGAAAGAGGAGUGUGUGUUGGCGAACUCGUCGGCUAACAAGGACACAGGGGACACGAUUUACCCAGGUUCAGAGCCCUCGAUGAGGUAAUACCCCUACGUCCUGCUUGUCGGAUCUGUAUUGAUGAGUCGAUUACAAUAGGGUGCCGCAGAGUCUAGACGCACCGAGUCGUCGAGUGCGUCCAGGCGACUUGUAUCUAAGCUCGGGGGGUGUCCUCUUGGCUCCCCCUCCUGGUCCUUUAUAUAUGCAGGAACUCACAUCCGAGGUAGAGUCCAAGUAGGUUACAAUGAAAAGACAUACUCUAAUUAUUCUUCCUUAUCUUGAGUCGCAAGAUUUGGCAUGUAAACUCCUGGAGUCGAAGUAGGCUUCCUUGUGGGCCCCUAGCUGGGCUGUAUCGGGUAUACUCGAGUCGAGUACGUGGUUAGUCAUAACCACGUCAUGGAUACUUAUGUGAUGACAUGUAUCUUGUUUGGACUUAGUGGUUUGCUAUUGGUGUGUUGAUCCAUUAGUUUCUUAUGUAAAAACAUGGCGUGAGUUGUGUUGAAACUUACCUUGAGUGAAGUCGUGGACUUGUGCUCGUACUGGUUAUUUGUGUGUUCACUUUCAGGUGUUGCCGGAGCUAGAAGAACAUGGUCGGUGAUGGGAUCGAGGGACGAAGCUUGGGAGAAGCUGAGGUCAAGGGAUCAAAGUCAUGCGAGACGUUCAUGUGAAGGAACAAUGGAAGUGAAAUAUACGAUGAUUCGGGAGGGCACCGGUUUGUCGUAUGUUGUUUAUACCGGAGAUGUAUGGUAUUGUAGAUAUUUGACACGUGAUGGUCGAGUUUUGAAGACAUCACAAGAAGAGUCAAGGAGUCCAAACAAGACCAGAUGUUCCCUAUUGUUAUCGGGAACGAGACUAAAUGUUCGGCCUUAAUGAGAUGGACCUUGAUUCCUCUCCGGCCAGGAAAAGAUGCGGCUCCUCUUUGUUUUGUUCUACUACCUUCAUCCUCGGGUGAAGCCGGUUGGCUCACCAAACAAGAGGCCUACUGUUAAAUCAUUGGUAACCAUGCCUAACGGUCGGUCCUCUAAGCUAUCGGCCAAGGCAAGUGAGAGCUGUUCAAGAGUUGGGGGCAUAUCUUUAGCUCGAGUAGCAUUCGCUCCCAAAAUGUGUGGCAUCGACGUGAAGACAUGUAGGUCCAGCCGUGGCUGGAUGAGAGCUGUUUAAAGACUAAACAAUAGUGUCAUGAAUAUGGCGUCCGAUGGAAAAGUGGUCCAUAUGGAAGUUGUGCGCGUCGUGACGCUGUGUGAAUGCUUUCUUUUGGCCUACGGGCUCCUACCUCCACAUCGCGUGCUUCGUGACGCUGUGUGAAUGCUUUCUUGGAAUAAAUCCCCAUAUGGGUCUUUGGAAGAGAAUGUUCACCAUCAAGCGCCAAGGCAAGGAUGCGAUUGGAUGGGUGAAUAUUCAAACUCAUGCGGAUGCCAAAUUCUUCAACCUCCGAGAGAGGGCAUCAUCUUCUCGAUGGAAAUCGAGGUGGUUCUUUGUCAUGGAUGUGCCGGCCGAAGGACGCGACUUCAGUCUUCCCGAAUUCUCCGUGACCACGUCGGUGAAGAAGACGAUGGCCUGGAGUCAUAAAUUGGGAGGAACAGAGGGUGAAGAAGCCGAGACUCUAUUGGCCCGAGUUCUGUCUCUCAUGGAGACUCCUCAGUUGAAGGUGACUAGAAUUCACCUCAUUGCCGCUUUUAUCCGGAGAAGAAUUCAGCCUCUGCAGGCUCGUGCUCAUCCCAUGUGGGCAUAUCGGGGGGGUUCAUGACUCGACCCGAUUUAGUACCGAGGAAUUUCGUUCGACUGAAGUGUGUCGACGAGUUCGGCGACUUACUAACUUGGACGAGUCGGAGCCCUGCGAGAUUGACCCUCCAGUGGCUCCCUAUGGGCCUGACAGGUCCCUAGAAAAGAUGACCACCGAAGCGUCUGACAAGCCCUGCUGUUUUUUGGCAUGAAUUAUUUCUGAUCAUGGUUUUGAUUUUAGGGACCCGAUAAUGAUCUAAGCGGCGCUUCCCCACCGGCAAAGAAGCGCGGCAGAGGAAAAUGACUUGUCGGUACAGACCCAAAUGAUAAGCUUGAGGGACCCGAACGUCGGGCCGUCAGUGUCUGUACCUGCGCUCAAGAGAACCAAGUCCGACGGGCCAAUCGCGACUCUCGCUUUGGUCUUUUUGCAUGACUCAACCGUGCCAGGUGAAUCUUUUAGCCAUCUUACUUCAGUAUCCUAGAGAUUUUGACUGAACCUCUAAAAACUUCUUGAUUAGCCAUACUAGUGGCUCAGUUGAGAGCAAAAAGGCUCCCUGGACUCAAUCGACUGGUCAGGACUUGAAAGGGUCGGACCAGCCGACUAAACAAAAGACAGCCCAUACCAAGGAGGCUUCGGCGGCUAAUCCGAGCAGAGGAAGUCGACCAGAUGAGUCGAGCGUUCCUCAGGCGACGGUUCCUGCGUCGAGUCGACACGUGAGCAAAUUUGUCAUUUGCUAUUACCUGCCUCCCGGUGGGAGUGACACUCAAGAAAUGACUUGAGAUUGCUUUUUUGUUUGUAGCCAAUCAUCCGCUCCAUGGCAACUCUUAUUGAAGAGUUUGAGGAGACGAAAGCAGAUCGGGAGCGACUUCGAGAAGAGCUGAGUCAAUGAAGCGAUCCUCCCCCUUACAAGGGUUCGAUCUCUGUGCUUACCGUGCUAGUCCCUGGAUCGACUCACUAGCACACACAGUUUCAUGAUGAAAUAUACAGAAACAAAGGUCAAAAGUACUUUAUUACAUCGCAUCAUUCAGAAUUUAAAUAGUACUUACAACCUCGCAUGACCUCUUGGCCAGCAUAAAACAAAUACUGUUUCAUCAUCAUAAAACAAUGUUUCAAAACUGCAGCGGAAAAGGGUAGAACAAAAGGGCCUCAACUACUCCAAGGUGAGAGCAUGUUGGAAUGUAAGCACAUGACCCAUGACAAAACGACGAACCUCACUCAUCGUCGGAUCCACCUGCAUUGUAAUUGCAGCCACUACGUGGUCAAUACAUUUGAAUGUAUUGGCAAGUUCACCAGAGUUAUAAAGGACCUACCAAGUAUAUGCAUAAUUUGGCUAGGUGGAGUUUGGCUGUUUGCAUAAAAGCAUCAUAGUUCAAUCCUAUCAUUUUUAAACAAUUAGUUUUGAAUUCUAUUGGACACGGGAUAGAAACACCCAUGCUCCUAUUAACCUAGGCACAUUGAGUAGAAACAUCAAUGCUCCUACCCAGUUCAAACCAUUCUUUUUAUUAGGAAAUUGGAAUGAGUGAGACCUUUCUUACAGCCCCAAUAUCUAGUUGCUCAUAAUUGUCCGUAACCGGGGACACGGCUAAGUACUUAGUUUGACACUCUCGAGAGGUUGUACACAUUCCCCACAAGAAAUCGACGUGUUAAUCCCUUGCUGUCCUCAGGGUAGAGUAGCAACGGCAUCGACUACAGGAUUUUUCAGAACAUAAUCUCCCAGACCACCUGAUGGACGCGCCCCCACCUACACUGCUACAUACCGAUGUCACCUCGGAUCCGGGUUCAUAUUUCUUACAUCCAUCCUGGCAGAGCCCAUAAUACCAUGUGGUUGUACUGGAAUCUACUAAACAAGAAACUAGUCCAGUCUCUGGUUACCCCGGGUGGCAUUCCUCAGUUGCAACGCAGGCGCUCCCAUAGAAAUGGUGAGACGACUCAUAGAAAUGGACCCAUAGAAAUGGACCUGACGUCGCAUACAUCUCCACUUCCUCAAAGCAGCCCACCCAGGACGGUUUAUUGAAUUACUUGUUUUGCCGUACACUAGGAAAACCAUAUUGUAAUUCAAUAGUAUCACAUUGUAAUAAUACCACCCUCGUAUAUUAUCAUAUCCUAGCAUUUUACUACCACGAUGGCAAUUGGUGGUGGGAACAUGGCAAAGGUAUUCUACACUAUUAGGAGAAUCAUAGCAUAGCAUAGAUACAAUAAUAAUCCUAACAAUGCAACUAAUAAAAUCUAGUGCAUAAUAAAGUAAUACGUGAAUGAUCAAAGUGAACUUGCCUUGAUAGUAGUUGGUAUUCAAACACUCUUCGCAAUCACACAGUUCGUUCUCCAAGAAAACUAAUCAAAUACAAACAUUGCAUACAUAAGCACACAAUACAAUCAAGAGUAAAAAAGUAUGCCAUGAUGCAAUGUAAAACAUGUGACAUGAGCUUGGUUUAUUUUAUUUGAGUGAUCUACUGAUCCUAAGCAUAAGUAAUUAAAACAAAUGCAUUAGCGUUUUAAAUAGAAAGGCAAAGGCUAGGGUUUAAACCCUGAAAUAAGGUUUUAUUUGCGUCUGCAAAGAAAUUUAAUUCAAAAUAUUUAUUUCUCUGUCUUUAUGGACAGAGGAUAAUAAAAUAAAAUUUUGGGCACUGGUUUCAUUCAAAAAGGACUUCUAAAUAAUUAGUUAUGAUUUAAAUAGUAUUAUACCUUAUUCUGUAAUUUGAAUGUGAUUCAAAUUUUCAAAUUUAAAAAUGGACAGUGCCAAAAGAUUCUACACUUCCUAAGGAUUUCAAAAAGGUGUGGAUCAUCAAAUUUGGCCAAACAGAUUAAAAGAUAUGAUCAUUUGAAGUUAGAGGGGCUUUUCUGCAAAAGUGCCAUUUCUAAUUAUUCCGGGAAUUAAAAUUAGAUUUUCGUUUUAUAAAAUAGGUGCCACAUGUCACGUUCUCAUUGGUGCGUACCGGUUCGGUUAAAAAUAAACACGGGAUCUAAUCCUAGCCCUCGGAUCUGGAUCGGACGGACGGGGCGGGCUAGGGUUUACCUCCGUGGCGGCGGCGGUCGCCGGAGACGAGGGAGACGGCGGCGCGGGCACGGGCGGGCGGCUCCUCCGGUGAAGUUGACGGCGCGGGGAGGUGCUGGGUCGACACGGCGCGGUACGGCGAAGUCGGGGGCGAGGUCGGCGCUCCUCGGGGUCGUCGGGGUGCUCGCCUAGGAUGGCGCGGAGACAGCGGCGAGCGGCGGACGGCUCCGGAUCUUCGGCUUGACGACGGCGAGGCGCUGCGGCGCGCAAAAAGGAGAAACGGACGCAUCAAAAGAUGCGCAAGGACGAAGGAAAGCGAACGGCUAGAAAUGGGCAGAGUUUUGACCUUAGGGUUCACCGGCGGCGACCAAAACGUGCGGCGGCGAGCGACGAGCUCCGGCGAGCGAUUCCGGCGGAGUGGGCGCGUGAGAGAGAGGGGAACGAAGGGGGAAGAAGAGAGGGGGGCGGGGGGCAGAGCUUUAUGUUGACGCGCUCGGGGCUGCGAAAUAUGGACGGAGCGCAGAGAUCUCGGCGGAGACGGCACGCGGUGGCGAAGAAGGAAAGCGGCGGUGGACGCGGGCGCUUUCCAUCGGGAACGAAGACCCUGACGCGUGGGUCCCACGCGUCAGUGGCAGCGGGCACGCGCGCGUGCGGCGGGGCCAGUCUGGCUCGGUCGGGCGCGGUCGGAGGGGGCUGGUCCGGCCCAUUUUGGCGGGGCCGGUCCGGUUUUCUCUUUAUUUUUCUUUUAGCCCUUUUGUUUUUUCUGUUUUUCCUAUUUCUUUGAUAUCUUUUGAUUUUUACUCCAAAUUGGUCCAAAUAAAUUCUAGAAAAUUUCUAAAAUCAUGUUCUAUCAUGAUUCAACUUUUGGGAGUAAUUUCCCUUCAAAAUAAAAUACCUAAAAAUACAUUUUCCCUAUAAAUGCCUUUAGGGCUAUAUAACUAUUUAAAUAAAAUAGUUUUUCAACUCCAAAUAAUUGUCCAAAAAUUAUGGAAUAGCUCAUUUAUGCAAUAAACCCCUUUUAUAAAUAAACCUUAUUGGUUUAAAGAUUCAAAGCUCAAAUGGGUGUAAACCCUAGGGUUUAAAUUGAAAUAAAAACUUUUAAAGCCUUUUGAGAUUCAAAUUUGAAUUCAAACGUGCAAUUGUGGCAUGAUGCUUAUGAAUGCAAUGCAUAUGAAAGGAUUUGAAAUUUUGGGAUGUUACAGUCAAUGUCGCCAAGAGCUGCAGGACGUGGCCGCCGAAAAGAGUCGUCUUCAGGAACGUAUAGACUCCCGUAUUUCCGCAGAGAAAGAGCGGGAGAAGGUUUGGAUCGAGCGACUCGAAAGUGCUACUCACUCAGUUGCUGGUGAGCGCUUGAACCUGUUAUUCGAGUGGCUUUUCCUUCUCGUGGAAAAUUUUGACCGUUUCUCUGUCCUUUUGCAGGAGUCCUUGAUGCUUCCGCAUAGGUCCAAUUCAAAGAGAGAAGCCGAAGCUUCAAUGAUGUUUUAGAAAAUGUUGAAGUCAUCAAUGAUGAAGCCAAGGGCAAGCUCCGGCAAGCGACAAAGAUUCUGACCACCGUAAUCAGGAAGAUGACUCCUGAUGGGUCAGUGCCGGAGUCGCUGAAUGGGCUUAUUGAAUUUUUUGCAGCGAGUCAUGACCCGGUAGGGGAGUACUACUGAUGCUGAGCUAUUCUUUACGCUUGCUCUUGCGCAUGGCAUUGAGGAAGACGCUCUCCAUCGAGUAACCUCUCGAUCGAGAGCAGGUGACUCGGUCAACCUAGGGCCCCUUAUGGGAAAGGGCAAAGAGCUGGCUGAGAUCUCGUUGCGGCAGCCACGUAGAUCAAUUGAGGAGAUGAACCUAGCUUCAUCCAGCGGCCCAGAGGUGGGUGAUCUUUCACUAGAUAUAUUUGAUUCUCUUUCUCCUUUGUGAAUCUUCUUCUUCUGUUCUUAUACCUUUGUAAAGAACUGCUCUAGCUGAGCCCUUUUUGGAAAGAAAUCAAAAAAUCUUUAUUUCCAUCCCGAAAGGGGUUCUUCAGGAUAAAUGCUGAGGUAACUUGUGUCUUUUCCGCGCAGAGGGAAAAAGGACCAUCGAGUCACUCGAUUCCAGGUGCAGCGGCAACCUCUCGCAACGAUGCUCCAGCCGAUCCUAGCGGAAAAGGUCAGGCUGGGUCGGCUUUGUGCCCAGAGCAGUUACGAGAAAUUGAGGCUCGAUUCACUAAAUUGAAGCGUGACACGCUGGGUGACGCUCAGAGUAGCAAAUCUAGCCUGAAAGCUGCGACCAACCGGGAAGAGUUUGUCUUUGGAGAGCUUCGCAGCCUGAGCAGCCAAAUCCAAGGUAAGGAUCGCAAGACUUUGCCUUUCGAGUCGGUCUGCAAAGUGAUCUUACCGUCUUCUGUGCAGUUGUUCGCUUUGACCCUGACGAUGAAAAGGCCAAAGUGAAUACCGCCAUUCAAGCUCGCAGAGUGCAUGAUCCAUCAUCCUUUUCGCUGGAUCAGUCAAGGAGCUACGACUUGAUGCUGUUGAUCGAGCGGAUCAAGCAGGUCAAAAGGUACUUGACCUCCUGCCGUGACAUGCUAGCUUCGACACAUCUGGCCUUAUGGCCACAGGAGAAGGUGCCUCGUAAACCGGGCAGCCUGAUGGUGAAGUUUCACGACGAGGAGAAGAUGAAGGAGCUGGUUCGACUCUAGCUGGUGAGGGGUGCCCAGAUUGCCCUCGCAUUUGUGCGAGUCAACUGCCCAGAGUUGGAUUUCUGGCAAAUUGCUACAUUGCCAGUUACUCUCACCCAGGGUAUAAAGUCAUUCCUGGAGGCUGGGCAGGCGGCGGCGCUGUAGAUGAUCCAGCAAUGGGAGGCAGCUGAGGAGGAGACCCUGCCUGUCGUAGGUAGUCAUGUAGUUUUUUUCCUCUCUUUUUUUGUAACGACUAGUCUACCGGGUGCGCGAUCAGCGCUCCCGGUGGGAGUAGCCCCCGAGUGCGGUUGCAACUGUGUGUAGUGGCGACCGGACUCAAGGUUGUAAUGUGAUAUCCUUGAGCAAUGUUGCACCCCUUCUUUUUUUGGAAUGGAGCGCCCUGACUUGCCAAUUAGCGCCGAGUCGAAUUCCGACUUGUGGAAGUCGAAUUUGAGUCGGAUUUGAAGUACUCCUGGUGGGAGUGCCUCGCAGUCGAAUAUAAAUAGCCGAGUGCAGACUCGAACGUACUAGCCAGCGCAAGGGAUUUGUCCUGCUGAUUAGCACUUGGGCCUUGGAAGAAGAUAUGGAUUCCUCCGAUGCACUCGAGGUUAUGCAUAUCCGUUUGGGACAUGUGAGGAAUACCACCUCGCGCAGGCAUGGGAGGAGAUUUCCUUGCUCAAGUCGGAGAAUCGGGCCGCAUCGGGUCGAGAGGAUUUAAUUUCCUCAGGGAAAAUGUGAAGGUUGAAGCUGAAUGUGUAAAGAGUCGUCUUGAUGCUUUAGCACGAUCUGGUUCGGAGAACCCAUCCUUCUAGUCAAAACCGCGACAAGGGUUAUGCCCUUGCGCUUCUGCAAGAUCGAGUUGCAAGAGCAGUGAUCUGCCUGAAGUCCUGCAGUCACUGUUUGACAGAGGUUCACCAUAACUUGUUUCCGGAGCUUCGUGUCCCUGUUGACCUGAAGGGAUUAAUCGAGAGAUUUUGUGAAGGAGCAGUAGUGAGGGGGGCUACUCAUGAACAAUUGGUGGAGGGUGUUGUGCUGGCUCUCUCGUUUGUUCGUUUUCGCUACCCCUCAUUGAAUCUGGACUCCCUGCAUUUGACUCCCUCUUACAUUCCAGACGAUGCUCAGCUUGGACCGAUUUACGACAUGAUGGAGAACACGACAUGUCAGCUGGUGACUCUUAUGGCCUUGGAGUAGAGUAGGCUUUGAUACUCGUUUAAAUAUGUAGGCGUAGUUGUCUGAGUAGUAUUUUUACCGGGUGCGCGACCAGCGCUCCCGGUGGGAGUAGCCCUCGGGUCUGUGCAUGACUGGUUUGCAGUCAUGUGGAGACCCAAAUACUUUGAAAUCUUUUGUAAUUGAAAACUGUUAGCAUCGUUGAAGAUGCCGCACCUUCUUGUUCUGUACUUCCAUUGAUCUUGUAUGAGAAAACAUUAUGAUUCCAAUUUUGCUUGCUUGGAAACUGCCGACCAUUGAAUGAUUGUGCUGAUGUUUGUUUACGCGAUAGCCCGUGAAUGCCGGCUGCAUACAACGAGAGUUUUUUAAAGUCGAUUGAACGCAGCCUCCGAGCGUGGGGUGCGACCAAUGACAAUGUCUGCGGUCGACGGGACACAGCCCCCGAGUGUCGAGUGUGUCCAAUGAUAAGUUUGGGUCGAUUGGACGCAGCCCCCGAGUGUCGGGUGCGUCCAAUGACAGUUUAGGUCGAUUGGACGCAGUCCCCGAGUGUCGGGUACGUCCAAUGACAAGUUUGGGUCGAUUGGACGUGUAACAUACCGGUUCUCGGCAUUUCCAAAAUCUAUUUCCUAAAAAUGACUACUUGAAAAUUUCGCUGAAUUAAACAAAGCUUAACUGGAAAUUUCUUGAAUCUUUGGUUCUAAAUUGAAUUUACACCGACUAAAUAUGAAUUUGAUUUAUACACUUUCUCAUUUGGUUUGCUUAUAUUUUAUUUGGAUUCUCCAUGUUCAAAUAUGCACUUUUAAAUCUCUCUGGAAUUCAUCUCGAAGUUGAUUUGAUGUUUGAGAAGUUCAUUCGAUCUCUUAGCUUCUGUAAAAAUAAAAAAGCAUUUCCUCUUUCUUUUUAGCUUUGGCUGAAAUCCCCAGCCGCAACCCAUCUUCCUUCUCUCUCCCGUAGCCCACUUCUGGCCGAACUGCUCCAGACUACCGUGCCUUGCUUCUAUUUUCUCCCGCGUGUGUUUAAUCUCCAGAGGACGAAGGAGAACUGCCAUCUCCUCGACGCCAGUGUAACUCGAGCUACCUAGAACGAUCGUAUUCAGAGGGAGCUCACGCGAGGAAGACAAGAGUUUUUGCGCUGCUCAAACUUCCGCAGCUUUUCUGGCAUUUUUCAUUCCCCUUUUUAUUCAGACGUUACAUGCAAAACAGAAAAUGGGGAGAGCAAGCCGCGCCAUGAUCCGCUGAUCCCGCGCCAUCCCACGGCCGAGUCAUGGCGCACAUCCCGCUCCUCCACAACGGCCACACUAUAGGCACGCCCAUGCAAACGUACGCAGACAUGCUGGGACGUGUUAUGCUAACAGAAAACAAACUAACAACUGAAAGCAAAGAUGUUUAACAUGCACGAGUUUACUAACAAAACACUCCCUAAACUCGUGCACCUACUUUAUUUGGAUCAUACCAAUCUUCGAGCGCAAUUCCUGGAAUCUGACGCGGCCAAGGGACUUGGUCAGGAUAUCAGAGAGCUGCGCCUCAGUUCGGAUGAACUCCACUUCAGCCUGGCCUUUCUCAACGCACUCCCGUAUGAAGUGAAAUCGAGUGUCGAUGUGUUUGCUCCUGUCGUGGAACACAGUAUUCCGGCUGAGAGAGAUCGCCGACUUGUUGUCGACGAACAACUUGAUGCAGGCCGCCUCUUCCUUCUUCAGUUCACCGAAAAGACGAGCUAGCCACACUCCCUGAGAGACAGCAGUGGUCACCGCAAUGUAUUCGGCUUCACAAGAUGAGAGCGCCACCACCUUCUGCUUGGUUGACUGCCAGGUAAUCGGACUUGUUCCGAGGAAGAAGAGGACGCCGUGGUGCUUUUGCGGUCGUCUAUGUCGCCAGCCAAGUUGCUGUCGCUGUAACCGACAAGGUUGGCGUCGCCGUUUGCUCCUCGUGCAAACUUGCAGCCAUAGUUCAGGGUCCCCGCGACGUAGCGAAGUAUGUGCUUCACUGCUGCAAGGUGCUUGACAGUAGGGGACUCCAUGAAUCUGCUCACAUAGCCCACCGAGAAAGUGAUAUCCGGCCGGGUGUGAACCAGGUACCUGAGGCACCCCACGAUGCUCCUAUAUUCAGAAGCAUCCGUUGGCUCUGCUGAACUAGCUUUGCUCAGCUUGAGGCGUGUUUCCAUCGGCGUCUGACAAGAAUUACAGCCCGUCAUCCCACUGCGCUCAAGGAUCUUCACGGCGUAUGAGGACUGACAGAUGGUGAUGCCGGCAGCGUCUUGCUGCACUUCAAUGCCAAGAUAGAAACUGAGUGGCCCAAGGUCACUCAUCUCAAACAGCUGCUUCAUUUCUGCUUUGAACAACUGCAGCUCUUGCUCGUUGGCUCUAGUAAUGAUCAGGUCGUCCACGUAAACUCCGACCAAAACUCUGGCUUUGUCUUCACCUCUGGUAUAGACAGCAUGCUCCAGCUUGCUGCGAACAAAGCCAAUUGACGUAAGGCAAUGAUCCAGCUUUGCAUUCCAUGCCCUAGGAGCCUGUUUUAGACCAUAUAAGGCCUUCCGAAGCUUGAACACCUUGUGCUCUUGCCCUUUCACCUCGAAGCCCGGUGGCUGAGCAACAAACACCGUCUCCUCUAGUUCACCAUUGAGGAAGGCGGACUUCACGUCCGUGUGGUGCACAGUCCACCCGGCAUGCGCCGGGAGAGCAAGCAGCAGCCGGAUGGAGUCCAGAUGAGCGACCGGCACGAACACUUCGUCAUAGUCCACGCCAUGCCGCUGCACGUAGCCCUUUGCGACAAGACGGGCUUUGUGCUUGGCCACCUUGCCGCGAGAGUCUUUUUUCACCUUGUACACCCACUUCAAUCCUAUAGGACGUUGUCCUUCCGGCAGCGAGACCAAUUCCCAAGUAUCAUUGGCCUCAAUAGAAUGCAUUUCCUCCAUUGCUUUGCGCCACCACGCAUACUGGAUGGCAUCACGGUGGCUCGUUGGUUCUUCGUUGAUGAGGAGAUUCAGCAGCGGGGCCGCACCGGCAUCAAGCACAUUCCUGACAGUGCGAUACCGAUGAGGCACAUGAGCGUCGUCGUCGUUGUCGAACAGCUCUGGUUCCACCGUGGGUGGAGAGACAAGCUCGAAUCCCACAGUGGGCGAUUCAGCAGGCGUUGCUGGUGUUGCGGGCGUUGCUGGAGUCAUGGGCGCUGGACUGGAGUCGUUCGUGUUGUCGGCCGGAACUGGAGAUAAUGCCGCCUGCGUCGCGGCCGGGUGCAGCACAUACUCAACAGUAAAAUAAUCUGUCGACAAACCAGAGUCGUUAUUGCUGCCGUCUGCGUCCCAGUUCCAUGCCGCAGACUCGUCGAACACCACGUCACGAGUGACAUGGAUGCGCCUCGCCACGGGAUCAAACAUUUGGUAGGCCUUGAUCCCAGGCUCGUAGCCGAACAUGACCAUCUUGCGGCUCCUGUCGUCCAGCUUCUUGACAUUGGGGCUCACCAUUUUGACAUGGCCGAUGCAGCCAAAAGUGCGGAGAUAGUGCACAUUCGGCUGCCAUCCAUGCCACGCCUCGAACGGGGUCUUGCCCUCAACGCUGGCCGUCGGCAAACGGUUCAGCAGGUACACUGCCGUGGUGACUGCCUCGCCCCAGAACUCCGCCGGCACUCCCUUCGCCUUCGCAGGCAGCGUGCCAUGCCGACGACGUUUGAUUGCGCCGCUCGACGACGCCGUUUUGCUGGGGAGAGUACGGCGCUGUCAAGUGCCGCUUCACUCCCAGCUCCUCGCAAUAUGCAGUGAAGUUGUUCGACGUAAAUUCACCGCCGCGAUCGGUGCGCAGCGCUCGGAGUGGAUGCUGCGACUCGUUCUCGGCAGCCACCUUGAAUCGCUUGAUGGCCACGACUGCCUCGUCCUUGCUCGUCAACAAGGUCAGCCACAUAUACCUGCUAUAAUCAUCCACAAGAAGCAGGAAGUACCGCUUGCCUCCUGGCGUUGCCGGUGUCACCGGGCCGCAGAGAUCGCCAUGCACCAGUUCAAGCUGAUCUGCAGCCCGGUACUUUGCCUGGUGGGGAAAGGGAGCUCGGCGUUGCUUCCCCACCAAGCAGCUGUCGCAGAGCUGGCCCACGCGCUCGAUCGUCGGCAUGCCGCGAACCAUGCCGUCCCUGGAGAGCCUCCGCAGUGCAUCGAAGUGCAGGUGGCCGUACCUGGCGUGCCAACGCCAGGCGUCAUCGUUCCCUUGUACAGAGAGGCAGAUGGGCUGCGCCACCUCGAGAUGUAGCACGUACAGACGCCCCCGGUUUCGCCUCACACGAGCGAGCAGCUUCCGUUGUGGAUCCCACAGCCGGAGAACGCCGUGGUGGAUGUUCGUCUCACACCCAAUUUCGUCCAUCUGCCCUAGACUGAUGAUAUUGCUCUCCAGACGUGGGAUGAAGUAGACAUCAGUGAGCACUCGGUGCUCACCGUUCCGGCAAGUGAAGACAAUCUUGCCGCGGCCCUCGAUGUUGACCAGCGAGCCGUCCCUGAGCUUUACGCGUCCACUCAUGCCGGCAUGCAGCUCGGAGAAGAGUUCACGGCGCCCGGACAUGUGGUUCGACGCGCCACUGUCCAGGAACCAUGACAUGUUGCAGCGCCCAUCGCCGGGAGCCGCGCGGGCUUUAGAGUGCUCCUCAUUCAGCAUGACGUGCUCCUCGGCGUCGUCCGUGAUCACCUUCAGCGCGCACGUGCGCGCCAUGAGGAGCGCCGGCUCCUCGUCGUCGGCUUGGGCGAGAUUGGCAUGCCCCUUUCAUUCCUUCCUAGGCUCACGACAAUGCUUCGAGAAAUGGCCCAUCUUAUUGCAAUUGAAACAUUUCACCUUGGACAUGUCGAUGUUUCCGUUGGCGUCGCGGGCAUGCCCAAUGCCCUGUUGCUUCGGAGCCUUGCCGCGCUCGUUGCCGUUCGCGUUCUGGGCAUGGUUCGUGCCGCCCACGUUCUGGCCUUGGCCACCGCUGCCUUGGCCCGUCUGGCGCUGGCUGCGGCGUGUCUCCCACUCCUCUUCGGUGAGGAGUAGCUGGCCUCCGGCAGCACUGGACGAGCUGCUGCCGAGGGUGUAUCGGGACUCCGCCGCGCGAAGCCGCCCGAUGAGUUCCUCCAAAGACACCUGCUUGAGGUCGAGCAGCGUCUCAAUCGACAUCACGAUUUGCAUGUAUUUCUCCGGCACACGCGCGAGGAACUUCUUCACCACCGUGUGACCGGCGCCACCGGAUCGCCGAGCGUCUCCAUGUGGUUGAUAUGGCUGUUGACCCGCAUGCUGAACGAGUCGAGGGAUUCGCCGAGUUUGAAGGCGAAGCGCUCCCACUGCGUGCGAAGGCGUUCCACCGCCGCCUUGCGCACGCGCUCCACGCCGAGGCGCAUGAGCUUGAUGGCCUCCCAGCCCUCCCUGGCCGUCUCCUUGGAGGCAAUGAUGCCUUUCAUCUCCGGUGGCACGGCUUUGAUCAGCGCCGCCAGAGCAUUCAUCUCGUCGACCUCGCUGAUCUCGUCGUCCUCCUCAGCGAUCAUGGCCGUCCACAACCGCUGGGCACGCAGGUUGACCUUCAUGACCUGUGCCCACUCGACGUAGUUCGUCGCCGUUAGCUCGGGGCAGGUGAUCGUGCUUCCCCCGCCGCCGGCGACCACCCUCUCCUGGACGAUUAUCUGGCGGUUGUCGUUCCGCCUCGCGCCAGGACUCUGACCUCGCGGCCGUCGUGAAGCCGACCGCGAACCACCGACAGACCGCUCGCGUGAGCGAUCCUGACUGCCGGCCAUGGCGCCUAGAGCCUUUCGUGGCUCUGAUACCAACUGUAACUCGAGCUACCUAGAACUAUCGUAUUCAGAGGGAGCUCACGCGAGGAAGACAAGAGUUUUUGCGCUGCUCAGCCAGAAACCGGCAACAAGAAACGUCAUCCGACAGCCAUCAAAUUAAUAACCCCAUCUUGCCCUUCCUUCCUUUCCUCCCUGCUGCUUUUGCACGCCAUAGCCUGAAUUCCACCCGCAGCAUCGCCAAGUCCCUGCCUGCGCCCCACUGCCCACCAAAUCGCCAUUGAUGUUGACGGCAGAAUCCUGCGAAUAAAAACGCUGCAGACCAAACCCUUGCGCCAGAACAACCACACCAUUCCAAUUUUCCCCAACGCAACUCUCCCCUCUCCACUUUCCAACCGAAGACCCCCAUGGUGCAGCACCGAAGAGGAUGACAAGGGAGAGCAGCACCAGCGAUCAUGUCAGGAGGGCCAUGCCAAGAAGGGAUCGAGGCCAAGCGCCAUGCAGUAGGAAGAAAGGACUGUCGUCUGAUCGACUACAACCGCCAGCAAAUCCUCCUGUCUUUAUUCUACUGCUAUUCAUCGAAUUGGUGAGAAUCUGAUCAAACCAUCAUCCUUUUGAAUGCCUCUACAUCCAGCACAUAUGCAGAUUCAAGUGGAUUUCUGAACCAAUUUGUUUAGCAUCCCCAAAUUCUCUUUCUUCCACUUCUGAAUAUUGUUCCACCGAUCAAAUCUUUCUCCCAUCCUUUAGUAACCAUCUUUAGUCAGCAUUACCACUGGUUACAGGUCCUAGACCAAUCGGAUAGGGGUUGGGAACAAUAAAACUCAAAUAAGCCUAUCCUGCUUGUUAGCACCAAAAUGGUUGAUUUCAUAUCUUUGCUAGAUCAAUUUUUGUUUGUCUGAAACUUUCUGCAUAUAUAGAUGUCUAUCAUGUUCUAGUAUUAAUUUACUUUGCAUACAAAUAGUUUCACAUGUUCUGGACUUGUAGAUUUGAGGAUCUUGAGAUUGCAAGGUUGUUAUUUCAUGUGCAAUAGUUAUUUUGAUCAUGCUUGUUCUUUCUGUGUAAAAAUCUGCAUAAAUGUCUAUAAGAUCAUGUUUGUAGUUAGUUUUACCUGCACACAUUUUAGUUGGACUGUCACUUCUGAAUCUCCAUUUGUGGGCAUGUUUUAUCUAUUAUUUAAAAGCAUUGUUUGCAUUCUAGUUCAUCGGUUUGGUACAGAAAAUCAUGUGAAUGAAGUUUGCUGCACAAAAAUGCAUGGCAUGACAUCUUAGAUACUUCUAUGAGUAUUAUGAACAUAUUUUAGAACUCAGCCAUAUUUAUGUUAUUGAUCGUUGAGUGUAUCUAUUUUAAUUUGUGCAGAUUAAUAAAUGAUCAUUCUUGCAUAUGUUUUGCGUAGCUUAUUUGUACGGGUUAGAUUUAUGUCUUGGCUUGCUUGUAGUAUUUUUAGCCUGUAACAAAUUGUAUAUAUAUUGUUACAUAAUUAUUUCUAAAGUUUGUAGAAUUUUCUCACAUGCCUAGUUAGCUUUCAGAUUUAUAAAUUAGCAUCCUUGCUUGUGUUUUUGUUUAUGCAGCACAGCCAUGAUAGUUGUUUUGGUUAUAUCAGAUUUAAUAUAGCUUUUGUAUGCUUACUAGUAUUGUUGGUAAUUAUUUGAGUAUUUAUGGAUUGCUAGUUUGUUUUUAACAUUAUUAUUUCCAUAGAUAUACCAUGUUUAGUGUAUAUAAAUGCUUGUUAAUGUAUAUACUAUUUGUCUAAUACAUUGCAGCGUCCAAUAUUAUACUUGGGUUGUUUUGAUGCUUUCCAUGCUGUUCAUAUAUAUGUCAUGGUAUGAUGUUUGUUAUCCAUGGCCCAAGGUAGAAGAAGACACACAAACACAAUGAACUCACAGAGGCUUUGGCACCCGCACACCUCGUGUCUUUUUUUCUCUUGUUCACUUGUAAACUUAGCUGAUUACAAGUCUUAAGUAGAGAGAAAAACAUAGGCACACACUGCUGCUUUGAUCCGCUAAUUGCUCUCCACUAGCCGGUAGCUAGAAAGCCACGAAUAAUCACGUUGGAUACGGCCACACGAUUCAGCCGGAGUCCUCCUCAACUUGUUGAUUACUCGGUCCACACCUGAAGCCUCUAAUGGCCAUGUAACUCGGUCAGCAACAGCACACCUACCUGCAUGCUACUUAUCCUAUCGAUGCCAACACAUGCAUCCAUUCUCCACUGGACUAGCUAAUUCAACUAACUAAAGUACUAAACUCACUUAGCUUGCAUGCACACACGUGAACACAUCUCUCCGUGUGCGCUGCCACAGCUUGCUACCUGAACGACACAAAUAAAUGAACAUGAUGAAAAAACUCUAAACAACAAGGUUAACUCCAACAAUGUUUGCAUUUAUCCACUACCUAUAUUGCAUAUAGAGUAGGUUUGUACAAUUGCAAUGCAUUUGCUAUAGUUUAUUCUUGUAGCUAUUCCGAUAUUGCAUGAAUGCUUUGUACAAUUUUAGUACAAUAUAUUCCAAAGCCAUGAGCUUGAUUGUAUUUAUAGAUACAAAUAAUAUGCAUGUGCUUUCUUAUUGCUUGGCAUACUUUGUUAUGGUUUGACUUAUACAUCAUAUAUGCUCAUCCAUGGAUAGCCUCUUGCUUGCUAGCUAGUGAUACAUGUUAGUUGUUGCCUGUCCCUGUAUAUGCUAAUAUAAGGAUGCAUGUCAUUUAUUUGUUUAGCUUUGCCAUGUUUGUUAGUGCAUAUGUCCAUAUUAUCACAUGAUAGCCUAUUGUCACUGAAGGAGCAUAUGUAUUCUAGAGUGCUUUAUCCCUAUUAAUUAUUCUCACAUGAUAGCAUUGUUUGUUCUGACCUCCAUCAUGUAUAUGUUGGCUUGCAAAUGCCUAUAUUGUUUAGUUGCCUAUAGCUAAGAUGCAUCUCUUUGGUAUUAUCAUGCUCAUGCCACUAGCAUAGAUCCUAUGCUUGCUUGACUAGUAUAGAAUCAUGUGUGGCAUGUUUUACUCAUAAUUUAUCUGUUGUGAUUGUUCAUGCUUAAUUUGUAUUCAACCUUGACUUGAAUUAGAACUACUUCUGUUUUUUAUUUUAUUUAUUUUUAUCAUGUGUAGAGAGAAUUGUUAGCUUUGUAAGUCUCUCACUCAUCCUUGCUGUUGUAUGCCAGUUUGUAUAUUAUGCGAAUUGCUUGUUUAACUAGGAUGAUAGGAGUUUGAUUGCUGCUUGCAUGCUAGCAUAAUAAUGUGUGUUGCUUUGUCAUGGAGUGCAUUUACAAAUAUGCUUGAGAGUUAUCUUUGGUUAGUGGCAGCAUAGCUUUAUAGUUUAGUAUUUAUUAUUAUUAUACUAAAGGGUAUGACCAAUCAUAUAUAUCCUUCCUCUCGGAUAUAUAAUUAUACUUGUUAGAAUCUGUCCCACCAUCCAAUCCUAUCAAAGUUAUUCAUAUCGUUUCCAAACCUAUUGUCAGCCUCAUUGUUUAUUCGCUCUCUUAUUUCUAUUUCAUUUGACUUUAUUGCUUUUGCAUUUAUUUUGUUUGUUCUUGUUAUCGUUACGACAAAUAGAGAGUGACGAGGUGGAUCUGAGUGCGUCCAAUGACAAGUUUUGGGAUCGAUCUCUCAGUUCUGAGUGUGAUGCGAUCGCAACAAGGUAAGUAAAAGGGGAAGGCUCUGAAUAGAGGAGCAUAAUUAGUUUUAUUACGUACCGAUGGUACAAGAAGGUACUUAAAAAUGCAGAAAAAGGAAAACGAAUAGGUGAGAAACUAAAAAAUAAAAUCGAGUAAAAAAAGCCUGGCGCGUUGGCGGCACAAUUGCGUGGCAUUCCGCGCCUUGCUUCUUGAGUCCCCGGCUCUGGAUUGGAGUCUGAGGGGGAGGUUUUUGAUUCUCCUAUCCCGUAGUCGAGUUGGCUGAACAGCCAUGUCAAGUGCAACUGGGUGCACUGCUCCGGCGAAACUGGCUGGGCGCGGAGGCGGAGGAGGAGCACCGAUGGCUAGAGCUCCUGGUAUGGGAGGCAGCAAGGGUGCAUUGACUCCUUCGUUAGGGUAUGGAAGCAUCCCAGGUAGCUGUGAGAAGCCCGCACUUGUUGCCCACUGCUGUGUCCUGGCAAACUCAGCCUGCAGUUCCUUGGAGCGCCGGCACUCGGCUAGAGGGUGGCUUGGCUUGAUGUUGCCUUGCUCAUCCCUGUAGACGUGAAACGGGCAAGGGGAAGCUAGCUGCUGAGCAAGGGUUGGUUGAUUUCUUUUUCUCUGCCAUUUGUUGCCCACGCUUGUCACCACCUCGAAAACCUCCACCGUGAUUUCCGGUCUCCUAAGAGCCAAAAUCUGUCGGAGAGGCUGCCGCGAUGAAUUCAGGAGGGUGUGAUUCUUCGAAGGCUCGGUUUUUGUGCUCCUUCGUCGAUCGUGGCCACGAUCACCCUCUUCCUCUGGAGAUCGGUGGCGUUCAUUGCGAACCGAGUCUUCACCGUCAGCCCAUCGAUUUGUGGGCUGCACACAACCCAAUUCUUCCUUGAGUUCGACUCGUCGGAGUCCUCGUUUGAAGGCGUACAUGGCGCUUUCGUCGGAGACUUCCUCAGCAGCGUGUUUGGUGUUGGUCCAGCGCUGGAUGUACGAACGGAUGGAUUCUCCCUCCUUUUGAAUACAAGCUCAGAGUUGCUCGAUGUCGCACCAGUGGCACCCAGGGUACCACCGCUGCACGACGCGUGGGCCCCGUUCCCGGGUUCCCGGGAAGGUCUCAUCCCGAGGAGCGUCUAUGAGCUCCCCGGCAAGCUACCAGCCCGAAAGGGGCUCGCGGGGCUUCGGGGAAUAUUCCCGCCUGGGCACCUCCGGGAAACUGCUUCCCGAGAGGGGGUUCCCAGGUGCGUUGGGCCCGGGUGCUUCCCGGGGUCGACUUGCUGGGUUCCCGGGCGCGUGCCCCCGCCUCGGGCGUGGGGCCCAGUGGACAGCGCCACGCGGGCGCAAUGCGGGCGCGGGACGCGCGGUCCCACCAAGGCAAUGAGUAAGGCGCACGGCUCAGUAAACGAGCCGACCGACGGGUAGUUACCCGUCCGAUCCAAGGAACAGUGGUUGUCUAAUCCUACCCUAGGGUCCUAGGCCCCUAGCAGCAGAGGUGGCACCCAUGCACGCCACCAGCUCACCGGGGGAAGUUGCAUGCCUCCCCGUUGGACACUUGUAGCUCAUGCACCAUGGCACAUGUGGCAUCCCCUUGUGUAUAAAAGGAGGACCCAUGCCAACGGUCAAGGGGGUUAGUCAGUUGGUCAGUUAGUUGGUUCGGACGAAGCUCGCUCGAUAGAUGCUUAGUGGCUCCGGUAGGCAGCCAGCAGAGAGCGGUGAGGAGUGCCUAGCCACUGAGAGAAAGCCCGGGAGCUUGCCCGACAACCUGUAAACAUUUGAUCCGUAAUUAAUAUCAGCUCAGACAGGCAGGACGUAGGGUUUUACACCUCCGGGUGGCCCAAACCUAGGUAAAAAACGUGUGUGCAUAUGUUCUUGGACUAGCGCGCAUCCUUAGCACUUUGUCUCACCGGCCCCGUAGGGCCUCAUCAGCCGUGCCGACGAUCACCGAGUCUCCGCCCCAGACGCCCCUACCGAACCUAAAAGGGGGACGUGGCCGCACGCCCUCGGUGUCGGAGCACCGAGCGACGACAUCUGGCGCGCCAGGUAGGGGGCACGGGAGUGGACAACGCCGGAGAUCGCCGGCAGCAGAAGUUUCCAUCGGCGUCGGCUUCGCUCUUCUUCGCCGACGAGCCUAGUCACCAUGCCCCCCAAGCGGGCUGGUGACUCACGCAUAGACUCGAGUCGGGGGCUCAAGAGAACCCCGAGCCCUCUAGGGUGCAGCAAACGCAGCUGCCUCCGCCGCCUCCUCGGCCGUCGACCGACAAUCGGCCAAGGGGACCGGCUGCCCCCAGUGUCGGGGGCAGUCGGGCGAGCACGCACGACGUCGCUCGGGCCAGCCAACGGGUUGAUCGCGGCUCGAGGACGCCCCGCGGCAGCGGCACCAGGAGCACGCCGCGUCACGAGCAACCCCUGGGGGUUCGCACCCUGCACACCCGGAGACGUUCAGGAAACCGGCUGCCCCCCGUGCGAACCCCGGCUGAAGCCAUCGUCGCCGCGCGCGUCAUGGUGCGGUACGAGCCGCAGCAGGGCACGCCGGUGCACGAGACGUGGGGCAAGGAGUUGGAAGCGCUUCUCGCCCUGGCCGCCCAGCAGCCGCAAGGCGAGGGCGCCCCGGUGGGCUCCGGCCACGGGCAGAACCCGGAGCGCGGAGACGCGUCACCCGCCUCACGACAGGGGGAGAACCCUCCCCUUCCUCACCGAGGCCAAGGAGACGGGGGCCCGGAGGGGUCCUCGAACUCAUCGCCCACCGUUCCGGGGGGCGAUGCGCAUGGCAUCUUGAAUGCUCGCCAGCAGGAGGAUCUGCGCCAGCGCUUGGAGCGCUGGCACAGGCGCGAGGUGGAGCGCCAGCGCCCUUAGGAGCAAGAAGAUGCUCCCAUGGGCCCCGAGGACGGCUGCACCGCGUUCACGCGCGAUCUGCGGCGGGUGGCGUGGCCCCGUAAGUUCCGAGCGCCUGCGCUCAGUACGUACGACGGGACCGCUAACCCCAAGGAUUUUCUCCUGACCUACACGUUGGGCAUGCAUGCCAUCGGCGCUGAAGGGGAUCAAGCAGCGCCACGAGGAGCGCCGCGCCGCCGGCGCCUGCUUCAAUUGUGGCGACAUCGGGCAUCUCUCCUGAGAUUGCCCGAACGACCCCAGGGUGGGUCCGAGGCCGGCCGGCGGUGGUGCCGACAAGGGUGCCCCAAGGGGGGCGCGGCCAACCCCGCGCUAUGCGGGAACACCCUCCUCGGGGACGCGACAGGGCGCGUGCUGAGGAGCAGCGCGAGUCCGACUAUUCCGGCGGCAACGAACCGGGCUUCCAGGAGCCUCGUGGCGUCGCCUGCAUUCAUGGGGGAGCUUGCGCUCUCCCUUCCCACCCCGCGGUGAAGCGCCUCACCCGCGACGUGUGCGCGCUGUUGCCGGAUGCGGAACCGCAAUAGCCGCUGAGGUGGUCGCACGUGCCGAUCACCCAGCACGGCAGUUGGGUUCAGGGGUAAUACCCUUCGUCGUCUCGCCGAUCAUUAGCAAUAUGACGGUGACCAAGGUGUUGGUGGACAACGGAGCGGGGCUUAACCUCCUGUCCGCCAGGCUGGUGGAAAAGUUCCAGCUGCCGAUGGAGCAGCUGAAGCCCACCGAACCGUUCCGGGGGGUGAACCCCGGGAUCGUGUGCCCGCUGGAACGCAUCACGCUGCCGGUCACCUUCGGGUCCCGUGUAUCGUUCAGGACCGAGCACAUAGUGUUCGACGUGGCGCAUACCCCGUUGCGCUACAACGGGAUCCUUGGUCGGCCGGCGCUGAUCAAGUAAUGGCGGCUACGCAUUGCGCCUACGGCGUGAUGAAGAUGCCGUCCGUCUAUGGAGUCCUCUCCAUCAGGUGCGACCUCAAAGACGCGGCUUGGUGCGUUGGCGAGGUCGUCCGGGCCGCUGCUGCAGCUGACGCCGGCGACGAGGAUGUUCUCGAGGACGACGGCUUGCCGGGUGAUGCCCUGGCAACGAAGAAGUCCCGUGCCACCCCGCAAGGGCUUGCCGGGGGAGGUGCAGGCUCGGGCUCGCGCCCCGGCAAGGGGCAGGGGCUCCGGGAGGAGGCCACCAAAGUGAAGAAGUUGCCCCUCCAAGCCGGCGAUGAGGAGCGCACCGUUACCGUCGGUGCGAACCUGGCCGCCGAAUAGGAAAGCGCCCUCAUCACCUUCCUCCGGGAUAACGCCGAUGUGUUCGCCUGGCAAGCGUCGGACCUUCCCGGAGUCCCCAGGGAGGUGAUUGAGCAUCGGCUCGCGGUGUGCCCGGAUGCGCACCCCAUUAGGCAGAAGAUCCGGCGGCAAGCACAAGAGCGGAAAGAUUUCAUCAAGCAAGAGGUGGGCAAGCUUAGGGCUGCCAGGGCAAUCAGGGAAGUUUUGUACCCACUUGGCUGGCUAACCCUGUAGUAGUGCCUAAAGCAGGGAAUAAGCUUCGCAUGUGCGUACAUUUUACCGAUCUUAAUCGUGCAUGCCCCAAGGAUCCCUUCCCUGUACCCCGUAUCGACCAGAUAGUUGAUUCUACCACUGUUGUGAUUUGCUGAGUUUUCUGGAUGCUUUCUCCGGCUACCAUCAAAUCAAGAUGGCGGUCGAGGAUGAGGAAAAGACAGCGUUUAUCACCUCGGUUGGCUGCUAUUGCUAUACAUGCAUGCCUUUCGGGUUGAAGAACGCGGACUCCACAUUCCAGCGCGCCCUGCGCGAAUGUUUGGGCCCCCAGCUAGGCCGCAACGUGGAGGCCUACAUGGACGACAUCGUCAUCAAAUCGAAGCGUAGGGACUCGCUGGUUGAUGACUUGCGGGAGACAUUCGACAACCUCCGCAGGAUCAAGCUCAAGAUGAACCCUGAUAAGCGCACCUUCGGAGUCAACUCCAGGGAGCUUCUGGAUUUCUUGGUUUCACACCGGGGGAUACAGGCCAACUCGACAAAAAUAGAAGCCAUCCAGAAGAUGGAGGCCCCCCGCAAGGUGAAAGAUGUCCAACGCCUCAACGGCUGUGUUGCCGCGCUGGGACGUUUCAUCUCCAGGCUGGGUGAGCGUGCCUUGCCUUUCUUCCGGGUAAUGAAGAAGAAGGGUCCAGUCGACUGGACUCCCGAGGCCGAGGCAGCGUUCCAAGAACUCAAGCAGUACCUGAGGUCGUCGCCCAUCCUCGUCGCCCCCAAGCUGGGCGAGCCGCUGCUACUCUACCUAGUGGUGAUUGACCAGGUGGUCAGCUUGGUGCUGAUUGCCAAGAGGGAGGAAGACGUCCCGGGGACUGGGGCCGCGGGGCAGGGGGCGGGGCGGCCCUCGGCAACCGCCUCAGACCCGGGGACCGCCCCCGAGCCGGCAACCUCGGCACUGCGGAAGCGGUUGGUGCAGCACCCGGUGUACUUCGUUAGUACGGUGCUACGCGACGCGCGGACAAGGUACCCGCAAGUACAGAAGCUCCUUCUGGGGAUUCUCCUUGCGUCCCGCAACUGCGCCACUACUUCCAGGCGCACCGCGUCACGGUGGUGUCCGGGUUCUGCCUUGAGCGAGCCCUCACCAACCGUGAAGCCACCGGGAGGGUGGCCGAAUGGAGGAUGGAGUUGUCGGAGUUCGACCUCCACUUCGCCAACUCUAAAAGCAUUAAGAGCACGGCCCUGGCGGACUUCGUCGCGGAAUGGACGUCCACGGGCGUGGAAGAAAGUGAGCCGGAGACCAGCCUUCCCGGCAAGUUGGACGAGGGCCACUAGGUCCUCUACUUCGACGGUGCAUUCAGUCUUCAGGGAGCGGGCGCCGGGGUCGUCAUCGAGUUACCAACAGGGGACCAGUUGAGGUUCGCUGUUCAACUCGACUUCGCCAACUCCACCAACAACACGGCGGAGUACGAGGGCCUGUUUGCGGGGUUGCGGGCAGCGGUCGCCCUCGACAUUAAGCGCCUGGUUGUUUGUGGCGAUUCCCAGCUCGUAAAUAACCAGGUGAACAAGGACUACGAUUGCAAGCUGGAACGAAAGUUCAAAGGUUUGCGCUUUGAGCACGUCAAGCGGAAGGAUAACUUCGCUGCUUACGAG